Molecule: long non-coding RNA, 83087 nt
Filed under: Sorghum bicolor (sorghum)
Lineage: Eukaryota; Viridiplantae; Streptophyta; Magnoliopsida; Poales; Poaceae
Description: long non-coding RNA (SBIC_LNC008999)
Rfam family: U4 spliceosomal RNA (bases 69955-70103)
Source: RNAcentral
GUCUCUGAACCAGAAAACUGAACCACGUCGCUAGAUCAUGAUGGUAACUGAGUCCAAACUUCAAUCACCGCAGCAGGUCGCAGGCAUGGUAUCUUUGCAAGGGUUCAUUCACAGCAAUGGUUCUAGUGUUGUGGUACUUAGAAGUCAGAAACUUGAGUUGUAGUACUCAGAAAUCAGACACUAAAAUGUUAAGAUGAUCUACAGACUACAGGAACAUGACUACACCAGUACCUCCAGCUCCAGAAACGAGCUCGGAAAACAUGAUGAUUGUACGAGAACAAUGCCCCCAUUGUUGUAUGUGAAAUAUGACAUUUGUGAGGUAAAUAUACAGUAACAACUGUCAAAACAAAAUGCUUGACGUUGCUCCGAAUCAGCAUCAUGUAAGAAAUUUUCUGCACUGAAGAUUGUUAGCUUCACUCAACACAACAAUAGCAAUAUUUAUUAUCAAGGUCCGCUGAACAGUAAUUAUUUUUUAAACUUAUUAUCAUAAAUAAAGAUCUGAUGAAGUGAACACCAUUUCCGUACGCAGUUUGGUCACAAGGUUACCAUUGUCAGUUACUGUGACUAUUUUUACCAGUCCAUAGAUCUGUGUCACCGGCCACAGCAUGGUGCCUAGCCAGGUGGCUGGAGCUUUCCCAGGCCGGCGCCGCCCCCACCUAGAUGCCAUAUAAACCGUUGACAUCGCCAUUAAUUUAGUCCUCACCCCUCACUCAAGAAUAGUCGCCCAUUUAGCAUCAGAAGUUUUCUGACAGAAAUCUAGCAUUAGCAGCACAACAUCACCAAUUCAUCAGCUUGUGACCAUGGGCAUUCCUACAAUGAUUUUCCGAGUAGCAGUCGCCGUUUUGCCGUAACGACCGCUGCAGCCGCAGGCAACACGACAGCGAGCACAAGCUCCGCGGCCAAUUCAACGGCGAGCCCGACCAAGAACACGAUGGCGCCAUUGCCGACGUUUGGCACGAACCACGCCGGGGGUGACAACACCGGGUGGUUCUUUGAGUGGAAGGCGAACGCCUCUGCCGCCAACUACUCCGCCUGGGCUGUGAACCGCACCUUCUACCUCGGCGACUACCUCAGUGAGUUUUCACUCUCUCCUUCCCCCGUCCAAGUCCAACUCCCUCCAUAGGUGUAAAAAAGUUGUUUAACAUAUUCUCUAAAGUCUAACUUUAAUUUUUUUUUAUAAAAAUAUUUAUCAAAAAAUAUUAUAUGUAUAUUUUUAUAAAAUAAUUUUUAAGAUAAAUCUAAUCAUAUGGUUUUCAUAUUUUCAAACUCAACAACUUAAAAUUAUUUAUGAUUUAUAUUCUUAAUGUUUGACGUCUAGAAUGAUUUUUUUAUGGAUACGGAAGUACGUAGGAGCUCGAUCCAUCCGACACUAGUGACUAGUUACAGACAUGUGUGACGCGUGUGCCGUGCUCAAUAUGUCGCAAGGCUUCAAGACGGACACCGGCAACACGGUGGUGCACACGACGAACGCCACGGUCUACAAGCUCUGCAGCGCCGGCCGCGGUCUCCCGUCGGUGCCGCCGUCAUACUACGAGCCGCUCUCCGGCGCGGCGCCGGUGGGGACUGUGGCCGUGUGGGUCGUUGCGAUGACUGCAGCCUUUGCUGCCUUUGUGUUUUCUUGAUUAUUAUUUAUUCACAACACAAUGUCAUCGCCGGCGUUUUGGCCAUAACGUUGUCCUCAAGAAUAUUUGUAACACCAUGUUUUGGUAGACAAAGAAAAAUAGUAUCUUUGGCCUUGUUUAGUUCGUGAAAUUUUCGUUUGUAUUUGGCAAUUAUUGUCCAACCAUGGACUAAAUAGGUUUAAAAGAUUCGCUUUGUAAAUUAUAGACAAACUGUGCAAUUAGUUAUUUUUUCAUCUUUAUUUAAUGCUCCAUACAUACGUCCAAAAAUUUGAUGUGAUAGAAUCUUGAAAUUUUUUAGAAACUAAACUGAGCACGAACCUUUUUUUUUGGGAUCAUGAGGCAGGGUUUUGCUACGGGUCAUUUGGCAGGGAAAGGCACAGAGCAACUACUUCGUUAAAGAGUUAGGUUCCUGUCUGGAACUAUACGAGUUCACCUUGAAUUUAAAAAAGCACAAGUUCAUGAAGUGAGCUAAGCAUGUAUCAAUAUGGUUACAUAUGAUGUGUUCGGUUUGUGGAGUCAUCCCAUGCUUCAUGGGGUGAUGCAUCAUAAGUUCAUUCCAUCAAUUUUGAUAGAAUCAACUCAUUCCUCAUGCAUAUACUAAUUAUUAGCUUGUGAGGAAUAAGGUGGUGAUAGAUCAACUCAUUCCAUUCCACAAACCAAAUACAAAAAUGAGGAGUGGGAAGAAGAUGGAUCACCUCAUUCCUCAAACCAAAAACACCCAUAAUGUAUCGCCACGAAUUACUUGUUUGCGACAAAGUUUGAGUUAAAAGGAUCUGCUAACAAAUGUGAUGAAAUAAUUUUGUAGUUUCCAAUUGGGAAAGUAGAAAUUGUGCCUGUUCAAAAAUGGAAGGUAAAUUGAUCAGCAAGAAUAACCACAAGUAAUUAGGUGGACCUGGCAAUGAAAUAUUAUAUACACAGUUAGUGCAGUCAUGAUUCAAUUAGAUAUAACCUGUAUCGCUAAUACAAUAAGAAUUUGCAGCUGACAAAGUGGGUACAUAUAGUCAUAUAGGGUUUUGGACAGUAUGUAGUCUGUGAUUGCAGGCCCUGCAUCAUCGGGACACAACGUUCAGACUAUAGUGUGGAAGAUUGAGAACGAGAAAAUAUCACUGAAAUAGAACUUUUCAGAAUUCAGUAAGAAGGUAUAGCCGAAAACCUGUAUUUCAUAGGGAGCAAAUUAAUUGUGAUAAGAUUUCUCAAAAAUUUAAUUGUGAUAAGCUUUAGUUACAUACCAUUAGAAAUUCAAUUCUGACGAGCUUCCCUUUCACUGAUUGUUCAGAUGAGCAACCCAUCAUCACUAGCGCUUUCACAAUAGGGAUUCCCACCUUGAUUGCACAUAUAGAGUUCAAGCACCUAUCUGGUUCACACUGUAGUACUAUCUGGUUCCAUUCAAAAGCAGAAAAAAAAAAUCAUUUAAGGCAACCUGAAAUGAGUGCUGUCACUAGAAUAGAAGCACUAUUUUUUUGGGAGCGGGGGGAGAAAACAGAACUAAAGCUGUACAAAACAACAACCAUACAACGAUUCUCCUUUUUAUUGGUCUGGUACCAUCAGAAAAUAUUACUGUCGGACUCCGUUUAAAAAUAUUUGUGUACAUGUGGUUCAUGCCAGAAGACAGCCGGAGUACAUGAACUCUGGCGAGCUGCUGGGUGUGGAGACGAAAUGAUGUCAGCAGAGUGGCAGCAUGUGUUGACCCUAUUGAUUUUCUUAUAAACAGAAAAACUUGAUUACAAAGUUGUGGCCACCAGGUCUGAACCUCAUGCAAUGAUCCAUGCUUCUUGUGCCAUGGCACGAAAAAGUCCAGACCAUGCUGCGGUUGUGCUUUCGCACAAACCAGUCAUGUGUCAAGCACAGAACACGCAUGUCAUGCAUAAGCUCCGGCGUGCGUGACACUAACCGAGCAUAAUAGAUUACAUAGCAUGACUAUGCAAACCCAUUACAUUAAGAAAGUAGACAAAGCUGACAAGGGCAGAUUACGUACCAUGUUCAUUAUCUUCAACGAUAGGAGUCAUCAGUUGUGGUGGAAGCAGAUCAUCUAUGGGGAGCUUUGGGCACUCCCCAACCUCGAGAUGCUCAAGAGAAGUAAGACUAGCAAGCCCAUCACAGUUCUGAAGAUUAGGGCACUUGUUUAUGCAGAGCCUUGUAACUGAGGGCAGACUUUGUUGUUUAAUUGGUAAGCAUGUAAACUCUGAAUCAUCAAUAUUUAAGCACAGGCAGCAGCAUUUAUCUCCAGACAAGGAGAGAAGCCUCUGGAGGGCGACUCCAAGGCGACGCGGGUAACUCCGGCUGCGCGGCGUCGCCGCCGGCCAGGUGCCGCCUCCCUGCUAGGUACGUCUUCCUCCCACCACACCCCCCCUCCCCUACCCCCCCUCCCCCCCGGCUCUCCGCCAUUCCUGUCCUUCUCGGAGCUCUGCGCUGCUGUCAGACCUAGAUCUGGCCGCCAUGGGGGAGGAGCUGGCGCCCAGGGGCUGGGAUGCGAAGGUGGAUGCGGCUUUGGAAGCUGGCUCGCCGCGCCGCCUACUUGAGGCCCUUGCUGUUGCGCCGUCUGCUGGGGCUGGGCCGUCCGCCGGGGCAGGGCCUUCCUCUCCAGCUAGAUGGGUGGAUUUGGAUCUUCAGAAGCUGCCACCGCCGGAGGUCUUCUUCGCGGGUUCGCCGGGUCUGCUCAGGGAGUUCCUCGACCGUGGUCCUGAAGAGCGCCUGCACUUCAGUGACUCGGAGGCUUCCCUGGGUUCAGACUCUGAGCUUGAGCCGGAUCUGGCGGAGGCGUCAGAGGCAAGGGGCAAGGAGGUGCUCGCCGUCAAGCCCAAGCGUCGCAGGGCCAGGCGUCAUCGACAUCGUCGUCGGGCGGCCGGAUUCAUGGCCGACGCCUGAAGGUCGCCCGCACGCCUCGCCGCGCAGUCUCCGCCGCCUGCUGCAAAUCCGCCGGCUGCUGGAAACCCGGGGGCGCCACGCGGACGGUCCCCCAACUCCCACCCCGCCAGGGAGCGGGGGGCCGGGAUUCGGACGGUUUCUUCGACGUGCACAGCAGGAGGUUCGGCCGCCAGAGGACCUCGAGGUCAUCCUUGCGCGGGAAGUCACCGUGGUCGCCCGGUUCGCCGCGGGCCUUGCCGCCGGAGCUCGCCGACGCCUGUUUCAACUGCCUUCGGCACGGGCACAUCAGGGCGCACUGCUGGCAUCCGCCGCGGUGCUACCUGUGCUGGCGCGAGGGCACCAUGCGGCCUGGUGCACCGAGCGGAAGAGGUGGCGCUCCCCGUGUGACUCAGGGGGUCGCCGUCAGGUUCGUCCGCAGGACGCGCAGUGCCGUCGCCGUGCCGAGUCCGCGGAUACAGUCUCGGGGAGUUCGGUCUCCACAGGGCGCUCCACUUCCAUCCCGAUGAUCUGCGCCGCCUCGCCGCGUCGGGAAAGUGCCUCCGGGGCGCCGCGCCAGCUGCCGCGACGGCCGGUCCAGGAUGCCCCGGACCGAGCUGCCCCAGACCAAGCAGAGCAACCUGUUUCCCCCGCAGUUGGAAGGGGGUGCGGAAGAUGUUGUUGUCUCUGAGGAUGAACCUAGGCGGAGUAACGCUUCAAUGGUAGUGGUCCCGCGCCUGGCCGAACUGCAGAGGGCGGAGGAUGAGCUGGCUGAGCAUGCUCUGGUCGCCACGAUCGCCGGUACAAGGCCUUGGGUGUCGACGCUAAUGUUAUACCAGCUGCUGUACAACUCCUUUGAAAUCCGGAGGGACGAGGUCGACGUAAGGCUCCACGAGCCGGAAGACUUCCUGGUCCGUUUCCAAAGAAGGGAACAUCGUGAUCGAGUGCUCGCUUCGCAUAAUUGGAGCUCCCCCGUGCCACUACGUUGGAGACCGUGGACGCGGCUCGCCGGAGGGGUCGGCGGUGCGUUCACCCAUCGGGUGGUUGUGGCGCUUCGGCACGUGCCAGCGCAUGCCCGCGACGUCGCCACGGCGCAGGCGAUCCUAGGGCGUUGCUGCGCGGAGGUUCAGUUAUCUAACCUCCGUGACCGCACCACGGAGGACGACAGGGAAUUCUUCGUUCAGGCCUGGUGCUGGCACCCGUCUUUCAUUGAACCGGAAAAAAUCGUCUUCAUCCCAGAGCCGGGGGGAACUGCAGAGCCGGAUCUUCGACGUGGCAUGCAGCAUCUCGUCAAGCUGAGACUGGUGGCCCACCGCCAACUGGGCGCGCCGUCGACCCCUCCGCCGAAUGACGACGACGAUGAGUCUGACCAGGGUGAUGACAAUGACGAUGAUCAGGGUGAUGACAAUGACGACGAUCUGCCGGCAAAUGACGGCGGCGACUUCGACUACUGCCCGACCCCGCGCCGCGACUCGGAUGGGGAUUCGCUAGACUCCGACCCCCGCAAUGGAAGGUACAUCCCGUAUUGCGACUACCCGUCCGAGUUCGCUGCUGAUGUUACGCGGAAGAUUAUUGUGGGCGGCAUCGCGUGCCCCGUCCAGCCUGGUGGCCGUCAGUGGUCGUCCCCCUCGUCGAGUGCGGCCACCUUGGAGGUCUCCUUUGGCCGUGCCCCCUCCUCGGCACGACAUUCCUACCGGAGACCGUUGUGCUUCGACUCCCCGUCACAAGAGGUUUUCAGGGAGGCUCCGAGCCCGGGCUUGGUGGCACGGUUCAUCAACGCCGCGCCACAUCGCCUGCAGGCUGGCAAUGACGUCACGACGCCACCACAGUCUAAAGCCGGGGACGACUGGUGGGCCGAAGGGGUCAGCAUGGAGUUGUGGCCUCGCCCGCGACCUUCGAGUGCAGCCUGGGUGCUAGGAUCCGGUGGGCCGAAUGACGAAGGUAGCCAGGGUCCGGUGCCGGUACCCCUGCAGCUAACAGUAGAAAAUGUGGACAGGCCGAAUGUCUAGGCGUAGCUCGAGGAGGCAGUCUGUGUUCACCUGAACACCCCGAUCCUCCAGGCGGGGCCGCGGUUGCGUCGCUCUAGGACGCCGGCUUCGAAGGGACCUUUGCGCAGAAGUGGACGUUUGGCUGCCAAGCCGAGGGCGCCAAAUCCGGUGGUGCAGGCCCACAGGGUGCUCCUUAUGAAGAUGGGUGUCCAAGUGCCGGACGAAGCCUCCCAUGAUCUCCUUGAGGGCGUGAUCACUGAAACUUUCAAGGGGGGGCUCACGGCCAGGAAGAAGAAUGCGCUGCAGAAAUUCCUGGAAGACAAGGUCGAUCUCGCAGCGAUGGACCUGGAUCUCACAGGAUUGGACAACGUCGCAUCCUAGCUUAAUCCGUUCUUUGCGCCAGUAGUCUCGUUUUUAAUGCAUGAACAGCUGAGUGUGUUUGAUUGGAAUGUGCGUGGCCUUAACGGUCACGCGCGCCGUGAUGUGGUUCGGGAGUUCGUUAGGUUGCAUCGGCCCUCCUUUGUAAGUCUCCAGGAGACAAAACUUCAAGUCGUGCCACAGUCGUUGGCCACUGAGAUACUGGGGGGAAACUAUGGCUACGAGUUCUUGCCAGCGGCCGGGGCGGCGGGCGGACUGCUGCUGGCUUGGCUAAACGAUCGAUGUACGGUGUCGUCCGUGGUUUCCAACCGCUUCAUCAUCUCAGCCCAGGUCUCCGAGCAGCGGGCCGAGCCAUGGUGGUUCACGACGGUUUAUGGGCCGCCGCAGGACGGGGCUGACAAGGUGCAAUUCUUGCAUGAGCUCGUCCAGUUCAGAGCAGGGACGUCGGGCGCAUGGCUGCUUUCGGGGGACUUCAAGAUGAUCCAUCGUGCCAGCGACAAGAGCAACGGCAGGUUAGACCGAAGGGGCAUGCGUAGGUUCAGAAACUUCAUCAACCAAGCACAGCUCGAUAAAAUUCAGUUGGUGGGCAGAGCCUUUACUUGGACGAGCGCGCGUGAUCAGCCCACGCUUGAACUUUUGGACCGCAUGUUCGUGACUCAAGAGUGGCUGACAAGGUUCCCAGCACUUUUCCUUCGCCCUCUCUCCUCGGAUUGCUCAGACCACUGCCUGAUUUUGUUGCAAGUGGUAGAUGGUGUGCAAGCUAAACGACGUUUUCGUUUCGAACCGUACUGGGCGAGUGUGCCAGGGUUCUGGAGGUGGUAGCCUCGGCUUGGGGGAACUCUCUCGUAGACGCUGAUCACUGCAGGCAGCUAGACUUCAAGCUCCGUAACACUGCUAAGGCUCUCACCAAAUGGUCCAACGAGAAGAUUGGUUCAGUACGGUUGCAGCUCGCGGUCGCAAGGGUCGUUAUCCUCAGGUUCGACGUGGAGGAGGAGCACAGGCAACUGCAGCAGUGGGAGCUGGAGUUACGCAGGAAGUUGAAGUUCCGGGUCCUCGGUUUGGCCUCCUUGGCCCGUACAAUUGCCAGGCAGCGAUCGAGGGCUCUUUACCACAGAGAAGGAGACGCGAACACGAGAUUCUUUCACCUGCAGGCGUGCCACCGGAGACGCAUUAACAGAAUCUCGUCGCUGCGGGUUCAGGGAACCGAGGUGAUCACCGAUGAUGCCAUGGCGGACGCACUGUACGAACACUACAAUGCAAUCCUAGGUACUAAUUUCGUGCGUGGAAGGGCUUUCAACUUGCAGCUUUUGGGGUUGAAUAAUCUUAUGAUAAAAUGUAGUAUUACCAAAAUCAUCAAAGAAAUCAUCCUCAAUUUCAAACAUCCAUUCAAAAUUUGGAGCUAUCUCCGUCUCAUUAGCUAAUUCAACUAUAGAUUGAGAUGAAUCAUGUAAAAGUUUAUUUUCAGUUAACAGAGAUUCUUCUUCUAACAACUCUUCUUUUUCUUCUGGGAGAUCAUUUAAAAUAUUAGUAAGAAUAGUUUUAGCAUGAUCAACAGUAAUAUGCAUAAAUGCUCCUCCCCAGGCCAAAUUAAGGUAUUCUUGAUUUCUAUCAUUAAGGCCUAAAAAGAAAUGUUGUAAAAGCAUGGGUUCUGGUAAAGCAAGAUUAGGUCCAGAAUUUACAAAGCCAUCAAAACGAUCCCAAGCCUUGCCUAGCGAUUCAUUGUCUAAUUCUUUGAAUCGUAUAAUUUCAAACUGAAGUUUAGCAACCUUUUCUACUGGGAAUAAUUUAAGGCAAAAGUCUUUUCUUAAUAUAUCCCAGUCUUCUUGACUGUUCCCAACAUGGCGAUUAUACCAUUUCUUAGCUCCACCCAUUAAUGAACAUGGAAAGAGUUUCCAUCUUAAAGUUUUGUUGACAAUUGAUAAUGUUAAUUUUAUUAGAACUUAAAACUCAAAGAAAAAAAUGAAAACACACUAGUCUAGGGUUUAAACUGACAAUUUCCAUGAGUUUUGCAUAUUCUGUGAUUUUUAGGGAUUAUUUCAGAAAGAGCUCAAAAGAGGGAUUUAAGUGCCAAUUAACCACGAAACUUAUCCGCAAUGGAAGGAGGACACCAGAGGGAUCAGGAAGACUCCAGAAGACUCUUAGAGCAAGGGGAUCGACAGAGACCACCAGGUGGGGCCGCCCGGCGCGACCCUGGCACCGCCCGGUCCCCUGUGGCUAGGGUUUGGCCUCCCCUUCUGGAAGCUUCCUCCACUACCUCUAAGGAGCCAUCAAGGCCGCUUGUUAAGUUGGUUUGAUCCAACGGCGCUUGUUAACCCUAGAUUCAAUUCAUUCCUCCUGCUUCAUUUGUCAAGAGUAGUCAGAAGUUAGGGUUUCUAGAGAUUAGAAGUAGAGCUCUAGUUCUUCAAGUUCUUAGUAUAGGCGUCUAGCGAGGUUCAAGUAGAGAUCAGGCGCUCCGCUCGGGAUUUUAGAUCUGUCUUCUAGAAAUUGGUAAUAUUAUCUUGUAUUUCAUUAUGACUUUGCUCUACUUCAAUAUAUUGCUAUUUAUUCAGUUCUUAGUUUAUUCUAGUUGCAUAUUCGAUAUAGAUGUGGUUUAUGAUGAUUAUUGUUAUAUGAUCGUAAAGUGCCUGAUUCAGUACUCGAGUGAGUCAGGUGGUGCACAUUAUGUAGACGUGGUGUCUAGAUAUAUUGUGUACCUACGGAGGCACUCUGACGUGCCGGGUCAUGUGGUAGUCCGCGUAGGUGACAGCUAUGUUGGUUCCUCUGUAGUCCAACCCCCAUACGUAGGACUAGCCAAACUGAGUCCGAGUAAAAAAAGAAUAAUGGAAUCAGUAGAGGAACUAAGUCAAACUUCAUGGGUUUUCAAGAGCAGUAAAAAAAGAACUUAAUUAAGGGGGUGUUUAGCGGAUAAUACAUGUAAUAAUGCAUGAAGUUUGUAUUGAGUUCCUAAUCAUGGUUACAACUUAGUUUCGGAUGCGCUAAUCCACUCCCAGACCCGAACAUGCAUACAGACUUGCAUGCUUCUAGCUUGCUUGCCAAAUGCAAAAACAUAGCCGAGUUCUUGGCUUCUUGCUUCCUUCACCGAAAUACAAGCUCCCCACCAAAAAGGUCAUCCAUGCGAAUUGUAUGUGGAUCCCCAGAAGUGCUUGUACAUGUAUUGAUUUUGUCUUCUAUUUCCUUGCCAAGGAUGUCAAGUGGAUCCCCAGAAAUGCUUGUACAUGUAUUGAUUUUGUCUUCAAUUUCCUUACUAAGGAUGUCAAGCAUGUUGUCUACUAACAUGGUGCAUUCUGGAAACUGUGCUGAUCUAUGUGCCAAAUUGAGAAAUUUAUGAGACAUAUAUCUGAAGCGAAGAGUAGCAUCCGUAAUUUGAUUUUCGAUUAUGUUUCUUCCCUGCUUGUCUUGUACAGUUCCAAUCCGUGCUUCCCAUGUCCAUCUCUUCAGCACGUAUUGUGGCGGUAGUGACUUGAUAUUCAUCAAAUCAAGAACUUUAAGAGAAUGGGCACACAAUAUCCCAAUUCUGUCAAAUUGCCUACAGCUGCAUAAAACUAUUUGCUUCAAAGGAUCACCAAUAACUUUGUACCCCUCCUCAAAGGUAAAAUCUCCUACCAGAUAUUCAUUAUUACCAUCCAAUUCCUUGGUGCAAGCUGCCAAGGAUCUUUCAUAUUCACCUUGAAAAGCUUCAAAUAUAAUAGGUGUAUACAGCUUGCUAGCAUGCACCAACAUAGGGGGUGGUCUCCUCAUAUAGAUUUGUGGCAACUUUUUCCUUGAAUCAAAUUCUAACUUCAGUUCAUUAUUCCUUUUACCUUGCACCACCAUUUCAAAAUGCUUCAAGAACUGGAUGAUAUCAAAAUCAGUUUCGAAGAGGAUUUUCAAAUCAUUGUUUAGACUCUUAUUCAGCUGUGUACUCCUCAUUCCUAAUGUGAAGACAUCUUUCAUAUAACAUUCAGCCCAUUUUUCUUUCAACCUGUAUAUACUAUCCAGCCAAGUUUUCUUGUUUACCUUUUUCCUUAUGAUGUCAAAUUUAUGUUCAAAUUCUGCCAUGUCCUCAUACUCAAACAUACAUGCCCUAAAGUCUGAUAGAAUGCUUGUGUCUUCAUUCUUAUCUUCAUGAAGAUGUUUGGCAAAAUUUUGCAUAAUGUGCGAGGUGCAUAAUCCAUGCCAUGCUUCUGAAAACACUUCUGCAACUGCCUUUUCCAUUGCAAAAUCUUGAUCUGUAUAGACUGUUUUAGGCUGCUGUCCACUAUGAGCUUUUAGAAAGGCCUGGAAUAGCCACUUGAAGGACUCAAAUGUUUCAUCAUAUAUGAGAGCAUCACCAAAUAUUACAGUUUCUCUAAAAUGAUUGAAUCCAACAAAGACACCAAAAGGCCUACUCCCGUUGUUUGUUCCAAAAGCAGUGUCAAAACUAACAACAUCACCAAAAUGUGCAUAGUCCAUGAUCAUUUUACCAUCAACCAAGAAUAUAUUUGCUAUCCGUUCUUCACAAUCCAUUUGCAAUGCAUAUUGGAAUGAUGGGCUGUCAGCAAUUUUAUCUUGAAAAUACUUAAGCAUGCUACCUGCUUGACCAUAUGCCAUCUCCCGUUGGCGCUUGGUCAACAAAUAGUUCUUUUGAUCUUGAAGGCUGUAGCUAAGAUUGGGUGAUCUGCCAACAUGGUGACUAGCUAAUUCGUUUGCCACUUUUCCCACAUCAUCUGCAGUUUCAAUUUCAAAAGCUUGUAAAUCUGAAACUCGCCUUUGUGGUACCACCACUUGUAAGGUUUCUAGCAGGUGUAGUAUAUGAUUGUGUUCCAAAACCAGCUCAGACACUUCAUAAUUGCAUUUAUUUCGGUCCAGUUUAAGACUCAUGUGGACUUUACCACUGGUACAGGACAGGCCUUUAGUCCCGGUCGAAAACCACUUGUAUUCCCGGGUGGCGAGCCGGGACUAAGAGAUCGGGACUAAAAGUCCCACCUUUAGUCCCGGCUCCCAGUCCCGGGACUAAAUGGGGACCUUUAGUCCCGGUUGGUAACACCAACCGGGACUACAGGGGGCACCAGGCAGUGACGUGGCGCCACCCCUAGCCACCCCUUUUAGUCCCGGUUGGUAUUACCAACCGGGACUAAAGGUUUUUUUGUUUUUCUUUUUUUUCUUUUUCCUUUUCAUUUCUUUAUUGAUUUUGGUUUUCAAUUGUAUAUGUUCUCCAAUUUAAUCGUAUACGCUGCAAUUAUCCGUAUACGUUGCACCUAUACGAGAGCGUCAUUAUUAUUGCACACAAAUAAAGUAUGAAACUACAUAUAUAUUAUCCGUAUAAUAUAUAUAUAUAUCUAUAUAUAUUAUAUAGCUAUACACAUACGUACAUACACAUUACAUUUACAAUAAUAAUAUUAUGUACAAGUAAUAAUCAAGUGUGCUGCCACCGGUUAAUGAUUACAUAAUGUUUGUCCGCCCACUCAAAGCUCAUACAAGUGUUCGUUCUUGUUUGGAAUGGGCUUGAAGCCCUGCGGGUAUAAGUGGAACUCGCCGUCUUCCGGAAUGACAUGAUCGUUGAUAAAUCCGGCGAUCGUCUCCUGGACUCCAAGGAGUAAUGUGUACUCGAACACUUUAUGUUUCAUAUUCCACUCCUUCCAUUUGCAUUAGUUAGAAUAGAUAUUAAUAUACAUAAAAUCUAUUUAGUUUCAACAAAUAAAUAAGAUAUGAAUUUACUGUAUACACAUGCAUGUUACUUACUUUUAGAACACUUUGAGCAGGUUUAAAUAGGGUGCACCGCAUAAAUUCACAAACAUAGUAUCCACAUAGAUUCGUUCCAAACGGCUGCGUGGGCACCCAAGGGAGUAGAACAGGAGGAGGAAGUGACACAUUCAGAUCCGUACGAUAUUUUUGUUGUAGCCAAGCCCAAGCCCUGCCCAAUAAGACGCUCGUUGAUUAGGUAUAGCUAGCAUAAUAAAGUAAAGGAGCACGCAUCGAUAUUUGAAGUAUGAUAUAUACUUACCUCUGGAUCAUGUCUAUUAUGUCUUGAUAGAGUGCCAGGUCUUUUUUCAUUGAGUCCCACACAUGUAUUCUUUGUUCCGUGAUCUUAAUCACAAUGAGUAUCCAAUGAUCUCUGCAUUUGUUUAGAGUCAACUUAUAUAUGUGUAUCUUAAUGCCGGAUUAACUAAGACAUGAUAUAACACAACACUUACCCCAUAUUGUAAGGGAAGAGUAUCUUAUCCGUAUGCCUUUGGUUAUAAAAGAACCUCCGGAGGUUCUUCUCCAUUUCCUUAGGCUUCAGAUUCAAUGGAUCUUUAGUUUUAGUGUCCUUGUACACGACAUAUGGAUCGAUGAAACCAAUUCAAUUGUCUUUUUUCAAUCUUUGUUCUCUCAUCAUGUGUCUGCACAUCGUGAGCGUAGUUAUUACGAAUACAUACAUAUGCUAUAAUGGGAUUAAUGAUUGAAAGGAAGAAUCACUUACAGACAGUAGCAGCUCAUGAGAGAUUUGUUGAGAGCAUUCAUAUGGAGAAGUUGGUGUACUUCACUAAAAUCUAUCCAUAUGACGUCAUCUCCACGGAAGUAGUGUCGGUCGCGGACUCGGACGGCAAUCAAUUCUUCUUGUAUAUGUUCUGAGCUGACUCUCAAGUAGUACUCGUGUAGCUUGUAUAUUUGCGUACUAAGUCCUCGUACAUUCUCAGGGUGGCACAUACUCCUGUCGUAAAUGUACCGACUCUGAUAUUCAUCGACACCUCCGUGGAUUGGCGCAUCGGUACGCCCUAGAAGUGCUUCUAAGGGCAGCCCAGUUUCUUCCAUCCAAUUCCCGAGCUCAUCUAAGUCCACAUUAGCAGGUAUAGUCAUUGCCAGCAAGUUGGCAUUUGAACCGUACUCAUUCGCAACCACUAGUGGCUGAACUGAUUGUUGCGCUUGUUCGCCGAGCUGUGCAACUUUUUGCUGGACUUUUCUUUUGUCUGCCUUGAUUUUCUUUAGGACAGUACGGUCGUAGUCUCAUAUUGUUGACCCUGGUUGUUUACUCGCAGCACGGUUCGCGUCUGUCAUUUUCUGCACCACUUGACGUAGCUUUGAACGAGGAUACAUUAGGUAUGGCGGCUCUUGCUCUGCUUUUCUGUUAGCUUUGCAUUUUUCAAAGAAUGCUUUGACUUCCGCUUUGCUUGCAGCAAGCACUUCCUCAUUGGUCUUCUCAUAUGGAAGCUUGGUCGUCUUCGGGAUCUUCGUGUUCAAAGCUUUCCUCUUUGCCGCAGGUGGUUGGAGUGAUCUCUGUCUCGGCGGACGACCUCUUCCUCCUCGAUGCAGCACUAGCCGGUGCCGAUGAGGUGGCGGCCGUUGUCGUCGGCAUUGGCGGAGGCAGUGGCGCAGGUGGAGCUUGUUGUUGUGGAGGAGAUUCGACUGCGGGCGGCGUUGGAUUCCUUCGUGGAGGACAUGCGACGGCCAGUGGUGGGGAUGCGGCCUUCUCUUGUACGUCGUCGUCGUCGUCGUCGUGUCCCAUGACACUAUGGUCAUGCGGUGAAUGGACAGACGAACUUCGGUGGGAGGAGGCCCUGGAUUUAAAGAAAACAAAUAAGGUAUAUGUAUACAUGACUAAAUGUAAUUUGAUACAGUAUAUAAUUAUAGAAAAAGCAGUAGCGUUCACAAUAAUCCGCACCUGCUAGGGUUCGGUUGUGGCGGCGGCACCCCAGGAAUAAUGAUGUACCGUUUCCUCCAACAUAUGAAUGUCUUCUCCGCUUCACCAAGUGUCUUCUCUCCAUCACCGCCUUCGAUAUCGAGAGGCACAUUUUCACGGCCUCUGACCACUCUAUCCACCAAGACACAAGCAUAUCCGGCUGGUAUUGGGACAAAGUGGAUUGUUGGUGUCUUGGUGGGGUCGAUAGGAGAUACGACACCGGUAGCCACCUUUACUGUGCCAUCGCCCUCCGGAAUAUGGAGCUCACAAGACGUCAACGGAGCGGUGACGUCAUCCACCGGGAAUCGCAGCCCUACGUCAUCAACUUGCCUCGCAGGCGCCUCCGUAGAAGCACAACUACUCUUUAGAUGAGCUGAGCAAGGGCUGAUGUUGGCGGUCGGUGGCUGUGAUAAGCUUUGGAGGCGGGAAGUUAUAGCUUCCUCCACGGCCUUUUGGAUUUUCUCAUCCAUUGUGGCCUUCAGCGCUUGCUCCCGCUCAAGGGCCUGUUGAGCCACUUCUUGGGUCUUUAUGAGUCCUUCCUCCAAUCUGCGUAUCCGUUCCCUGUCCUCUUCCUUCUUUCUCAGGCGGCUUCUAUAAGUUUCCCUAUCUGCAGGGAAGGCAUGUUCCCACGACACGGUGCCAUAGCCUCUCGCCGUCCACCGUGCUUAGGGUUCCCUAGGGCGAAUGUCAAUUCAUCUUUAUCUCUAUUCGGCUGCCAUUCUCCACUUUCAGCGAUGGAGCGGGCUUGAUGGAAUCUUUCCGCAAUAGCUUGGAUGCGUUCCCCAUACAUGACCUUUACGAUCUCAAGGUCCAGUGAGCCUCCGUGAGCGAAAAACCAGUGCUUCGCGCGCUUAGGCCACUCGAGGGAUUCGGGCACCAACCCCCUGUCGAUUAACUCUUUUUCGGCCUUUUCCCACUUAGGAACUGCGGUUUGGUAGCCACCUGAUCCCAUCGUGUGGUGGUAGGUCUUGCGUCGGGCAUUCUCUUGGUUCUUUUUGACCCGUUCCUGAGCCUCUUCGGACAUCUUGAACCGUACAAAGUCGUCCCAAAACGGCCGUAGCUUCGCAUAGUUCGGAGAGUUGAAAUCUGGAGUCAUGUUUUUCUUGAUGUAGUCUUGAUAUAGACGCUUCUUAUAGCCCUGAAACAUUGGUGCCAUCUUCUUCAUAGACCAGUCUCGGACUCUUUCCUUCAACUGUUCAUCGUUUGUCUCCAGUGUAAAAUGUUGCAAGACAUCACCCCAGAGUAGCUCCUUGUCACGUAUAGAGACAUAACUGAUUUCUGGGUGUUUCUUGUUCUCAUUCCAUUCACAGACACUGAUUGGGAUCCUAUCCCGGACAAGGUACCCUAAGUGGUACACGAAGGCCCUUGAAUGGGGUCCAAGUGGCUUGCCUGUUGCUUCCUCGAAUUCUGAGAUUACUAACCGGCCCUCCAUAGGCUUCUUUGGGCCUCGUACUCUCCGGCUGGUCCCCGUGGUUGUCGUCGAGCCAGGGGGCUAUGUAGAAAGAAAAAAGACAAUUUAAUACAAGAUAUUAUUUCGAAUUAUAUCUGUAAAAACAAAGGAGACUGCCAUAUUACAGACCUGCUGGCCAGCAUUGUCUUGCUCAUUCGGGUCGACCAAAUACUGAGAGCAGUCAUCGAUUCCCUCAGGGUUUUCAUCGCCUUCGCGAUCAUCGUGAUAAACUUCUUCAGUGGGACCGCAGAUCAGGUUCAUCAUUUCCUCUUCAUGUUCUCUCGGAUCGGCCAUUUCUACAGAAAUAUGUGACACAUCACUACUAGCACUACUGUGUAUACUUGACAAGAAACAAUAUAUAAAACUAGGGUUUAGGGUUUAGGGUUUAGGGCUUAGGGCUUAGAACAUCACUAAAUACAUCACAGAACACUAUAGAACAUCACUAAAUACAUCAAAUAUAUACGUGAAAAAAACUAAAUACACCAUAGAACAUCACUAAUUACAUUAAAGAACAUCGUAUAUAUAUUACGUGAAAAUAAAUAAGAAUUUGGUACUAUAAUAUACAUGAAAAUAAUUAAUUAUAUAUGAAUUUGAGCAGAGACAAUAUUCUAGAUUUAUAAGAAAUUGGUGACACAUGACUACUAGCACUACUGUGUAUACCUGACAAGGAAACAAUAUAUAAAACUAGGGUUUACAACUUAGGUUUCAACUAAGGGUUUGGGGUUUAUGGCUUAGCCACUAAUUGUACCACUAAUUAUAGCACUAAUAAUUGUACCACUAAUAAAUCCAUCUCGACAUACCUGUAGUUUGAAGGCGGUGAGACGGCGGAGAGACGGCAGUCGGUGCGGAGACUCGACGGGGACUUCGGUGACGACGGCAGAGAGACGUCGAUCUGAAAGAAGGAAGAAAUAGGGAACAAAUAUUAUAUCACAUUUACAUAUUGUGGCACUUGCAUGAAGCACUAAAUAUAGAAACAAACGAAAAUGCUACAGUACCAAAAUGCUAUAGUGUGAAAUACAAAAUUUUUUGGAACUAAACAAGGCCUAAUUAUUUUUUUGGAACUAAACUUAUUGGAAUAGUAGCAUUUUCGUUUGUAUUUGACAAAUAUUAUAUUGUCCAAUUAUGGACUAACUAGGCUCAAAAGAUCCAUCUCGUCACCGAUGCAUUAUUUUUUUUGAACGAAACAAGGCCUAAUUAUGGACUAACUGUGCAAUUAGUUUUUAUCUAUAACUCUUAUAAAGCUAAACCCCACUAGAUGAAUUCUCUCUUCAUGCAAGGUGUCCACAUCAUUUCCCACUAAGUAACCCACUAAAUAUUUUAUCUCUACAUAUAAGGUGUCCACAUCAUUACUCACUAAGUCCAUGUCAUCCUAUAUUAAUUACAAAAAAUGACCAUGACAUCUAUAUCAUGUGAAAUACUUUAAAUCUUUAAUCUAUUAACAUACAAGUUAUGUACAUACAAUAUUUGUUUCAUCACCAAUUAAUUCCUCUAUAAUGUAACCAAACAUUAGUUUUUGUUCUAUUAGCUUAGAAAUUUUUUACUAGAUCUAAUACAAUAAAAUAUAUGCAAGUCAAAUUCAUAUGUAUACAUACAUAAUAGACUCAAUAUUAUAUAGUAAUGAUAUAUAUAAUGAUUUAUUUUUAAGAAAUUCCCGCGGCAACGCGCGGGGAAUUCACCUAGUUUUUAUCUAUAUUUAAUACUCCAUGCAUACGUCUUAAGAUUCGAUGUGACGGGGAAUUAAAAAAUUUUACAAAAUUUUUGAGAAACUAAGGCCUUGUUUAGUUCACCCCAAAAUCCAAAAAAUUUUCAAGAUUCUUCGUCACAUCGAAUCUUACGACACAUGUAUGAAACAUUAAAUAUAUACGAAAAUAAAAACUAAUUACACGGUUUGUUUGUAAAUUGCGAGACAAAACUUUUGAUCCUAGUUAGUUUAUGAUUAGAUAAUACUUUUCAAAUAAAAACGAAAGUGCUACAGUAUUGAAAUCCGAAAUUUUUUCACAACUAAACAAGGCCCUAAACAAGGUCGGCUCGGCCGCCGGUGAGGGUCGAGCUCGGCCGCCGGUGAGGGCGCACGUGGCCGCGCGGCCGACGGCGUCCUGCCCGCGCCACUGAGGGCGCAGAGGGCGCGUGCGAGAGAGAAAAAGAGAGAGUGGCGGCGGGGGCGCGGCGUACGAUGGAGGGGGCGCUCGGAGCGGCGGCGGCAACGACAGCGUCGUGGACGAAGAGAAGAACGGCGGCGGUUAGGGCUCGGGCGCGGUGGGGAAGGAGAAGAAAGGGCUCUGCCCUUUAUAGGGCAGAGCACCUUUAGUCCCGAGCGGUGGCACGGCCCGGGACUAAAGGUUUUUCACCAAAUUAUGGCGCCAGUUCAGGCGCCAUAAUUUGGUUUUCCCUUUUUUAUUUUCCCUUUACAUUGUUAAAUGCAUUAUAAAUUAAAUAAAUCUGAUAAAAUUUUUAAAAAAUACACAUUAAUUUUAUUCUGCUCUACUCUUGAGUAUAAAAAUUCUUAACACAAUUGCUUUUUAAAUAUUUCAUAUUACUCAAAAUAAAUAUUAUUCAUAAUGAAUAUUUUGUUAAUGCAAAAAUAUAAUGACCAAUUAAAUUUUAAAAAAUUGUUGGCUUUAGACAGAUACUUUGUUUUUGGGUCAUUUGGACGUUAAACUUUUGUUUCUUUAGUAAUAAUUAUACAAAUGCGCGACAUUGAUUGUAUAAAUUUGAAAUUUAAAUUUUCAAAAGUUGUAAGAUGUAUUUGGGAACCCUGCAUGGCCUCAAAUGGAAAACUCAUGAAUACAAAGUUUGUUCUGCUCAUCAAGACCUACAUUUUCUCUAGUGGUCACAUUUUCAUUUGAAAAAGUUUAGACCACUCAAUUUUGAAAUUUGAAUGAAUUCAUAGCGAAACGCUAAUUUUCAGAACCAUGGAUGGCCUCAAAUGGAAAACUCAUGAAUACCAAUAUUGCUCCACUCAUCAAGAUCUACAUUUCAUAUAUAGACCAUUUUUGCAUUUGACAAAGUGUUGGCAAAGUGUAGUUCAAAAUCCACACUUCCCACGUAUAGUUUCAUAAAGUUUGUGUGAGAUUCAAGAUUUGGUGAGUAUUGUCUACAUAAACUUUCCCAAAUGGAAAAAUGGUCUAUAUAAAAAGUUUGGAUAUUGAUGAGCUCUAACAACUUGGUAUUCAAAAGAUUUCCAUUCCAAGUCAUUUUCUCCGUCGUUUGACCAAGUUUGACCAAAGCCCGUCUUCGAAUUUGAAAACACGUGCCUCGGACUCGAUCAAAUUUAUCCGGAUGAAAAUAUGAUCCAUAUAUGAAAUAUAGGUCUUGAUGAGACCUAACAACUUGGCAUUCAAAAGUUUUCCAUUUGAAGUACUCAGGUGGGUCAUUUGACCAAGUUUGACCAAAGUCAAAAUAGUGGGUUUCACAAACACACACUUUGACCGAGCCCUGGAUGGCCUCAAAUAGAAAACUCAUGAAUACAAAGUUUGUUCCACUCAUCAAGACCUACAUUUUCACUAGUGGUCACAUUUUCAUUUGAAAAAGUUUAGACCACUCAAUUUUGAAAUUUGAAUGAAUUCAUAGCGAAACGCUAAUUUUCAGAAAAUGUAGGUCUACAUUUCAAGAUCCACUCAUCAAGAUUGCUCCACUCAUCAAGAUCUACAUUUCAUAUAUACAUUUCAUGAAUACCAAUAUUGACCAAGUUUGACCAAACUCAUGAAUACCAAUAGUUCAAAAUCCACAUCAAGAUGUUACAAUUAUAUUACCCAUAAUGUUACAAUUAUAUUACACAAGAUUUCAAGUACAAAUCACUACCAUUAUCAAGCUAGCACAGUGGUAAACUUUUUCUUAACAUAAUGCCCUUGGUUAUGAUCAUUCCGUAACCAUGGAGUGUCCUCUGCAGCGAGCAUGAUGCUUGGGUCUUUGGCCACAUAGAAGGGUGGGAUCUGUUCAUCCUUUUCAUAAUCCUCUGACACGUCUGACUUGUCUUCAAUUCCCACGAUAUUUCUUUUCCCUGUAAGAACGAUGUGUCGCUUUGGCUCGUUGGUGUUUUUCUCGUCUUGUUUCCCUCUCUUAGGUUUUGUAGACAUGUAUUUCACAUAGAACACUUGAUUCACCUUAGUACCGAGGACGAAUGGAUCGUCUGUAUAUCCAAUAUUGUUGAGGUCCACUGUUGUCAUUCCGUACUCCUUAUCGACUGAUACCCCUCCUUUCAUCUUCACCCAUUGGCAUCGGAAUAAAGGGACUUUAAAAUUAUGUGCAUAGUCUAGUUUCCAAAUCUCCUCUAUACGACCAUAAUAUGUGUGCCUGUCCCCAUUCGUGUCCGUGGCAUCCACACGGACGACACUGUUUUGGUUGGUACUCUUUUUAUCUUGUGAUACGGUGUAAAAUGUAUUUCCAUUUAUCUCGUACCCUUUGUAUGUGAGGACGUGCCACGCUGGUUGCCUAGCCAACAAAUAAAGUUCAUCUCCAAUAUCUUUAUCACCCUGGCAUUUUUUUCGCAACCAGUCACCGAAUGUUUCCAUGUGAUGAUGCGUAACCCAAGUCUCAUUCUUUCCAGGAUUCUCGGAUCGUACAAAAUCCAUGUGUUCCUCAAUAUAGGGUUCCACCACAAUGGAGUUUCGAAGGACUGUGUAGUGCGCUUUAUUGAAUAAAUCAUCACCCUGGCUGAUAUAUGUUUUCUUUCCUAGUGUACCCUUUCCACCGAGUCUCCCCUCAUACCUUGAUUCAGGAAGACCAAUCGGGUCAAGAUCAGGAAUAAAGUCCACACAGAACUCAAUGACCUCCUCUGUCCCGUAUCCCUUGAUGAUGCUUCCUUCUGGCCGACCCCGCUGGUGAACAUAUUUUUUCAGUACACCCAUAAAUCUCUCUAAAGGAAACAUGUUGUGUAGGAAGACAGGACCCAGAAUAUGAAUCUCUUUGACCAGAUGAACUAGGAGAUGUGUCAUGAUAUCAAAGAAAGAUGGAGGAAACACCAACUCAAAGCUGACAAGACAUUGAACCACAUCGUUCUGUAGAGUAGCUAGAUCAAGAGGAUUGAUUGCCUUCUGAGAAAUUGCAUUGAGGAAUGCACACAACUUCACGGUGGCCAGACGUACAUGUGGAGGUAGAAUUCCUCUUAAGGCAACCGGAAGCAGUUGUGUCAUAAUCACGUUGCAGUCGUGCGAUUUUAAGUUGACAAAUUUUUUCUCUGGCACAUUUAUUAUACGCUUUAUGUUGGAGGAGAACCCAGAUGGGACCUUGAUGCUGCUUAGGCACUCAAACAUGAUUUCCUUCUCCUCAUUGCUAAGAGUGUAGCUAGCAGGUCUUAAAUACUAGCGUCCAUCAUCUGUCUGCUCUGGAUGCAGGUUGUCUCAUUCUUUCAUGCGCUUUAAGUCCUCUCGAGCCUCAAGGGUAUCCUUAGGCUUUCCAAACACACCCAUAAACCCUAGGAGAUUGACACAAAGAUUCUUGGUCAGGUGCAUCACGUCGAUGCAGUGGCGGACCUCAAGGUGUUUCCAAUAUGGUAGCUCCCAAAAUAUUGACUUUUUCUUCCACAUUGGGGCACGCCCCGAAGCGUCUUUCGGAACAGGUUCGCUGCCUUCUCCCUUUCCAAACACUACUUUCAAAUCUUUGACCAUCUCGAAUACCUCUGCCCCGUCUCGGUUGCCUGGCUUGGACCGGUGUUCUGUCGUACCUUUAAAAUGUUUGCCUUUCUUUCUCAACUGGUGGUUCUUAGCAAGAAAUCAACGAUGGCCAAGGUACACGACCUUUCGGCAUUUUUUCAAAUAGAUAGCUUGAAGGUCACCAAAGCAAUGGGUGCAAGCAUUAUAUCCCUUGUUUGUCUGUCCUGAAAGAUUGCUUAGAGCUAGCCAAUCAUUGAUUGUCACAAACAACAAUGCUCGUAGGUCGAAUGCUUCCUGUUUGUACUCAUCCCACAUACGCAAACCUGGUUUGCUCCAUAGAAGCUGGAGUUCCUCAACCAAUGGCCUCAGGUAAACAUCGAUGUCGUUGCCAGGUUGCUUCGGACCUUGGAUGAGCACCGGCAUCAUAAUGAACUUCUGCUUCAUGCAUAACCACGGAGGAAGGUUGUAGAUACAUAGAGUAACGGGCCAAGUGCUAUGACUAGAGCUCUGGUCCCCAAAAGGAUUAAAUCCAUCCGUACUCAAUGCGAACCUUAGGUUUCUUGCGUCCUCUGCAAAUUCCGGGAAUUCUCUAUCAAUUUCUCUCCACUGAGAACCAUCUGCAGGGUGUCUCAACAUGUUGUCCACCUUACGGUCUUCUUUGUGCCAUCGCAACAACUUUGCAUGCUCCUUAUUUCUGAACAAACGUUUUAGGCGUCAAAUUAUUGGAGCAUACCACAUAACCUUGGCAGGGAUUCUCUUUCUCGGACGUUCUUCAUCCUCAACAUCGCCAGGGUCAUCUCGCAAGAUCUUGUACCGUGACGCAUGGCAAACAGGGCAUUCAUCUAAUUUCUCGUACUCGCCACGGUACAGGAUGCAGUCAUUAGGGCAUGCAUGUAUCUUCUCGAUUUGUAAUCCCAAAGGGCAGACAAUCUUUUUUGCUUCGUAUGUAGUGGUGGGUAACUCAUUAGGCUUUGGAAGCAUCUUUUUUUGGAUCUUCAGUAAUUUUCCAAAUGCCUUGUCAGAAAUACCAUUCUCUGCCUUCCACUUUAACAACUCCAGUGUCGUUCCUAGCUUUUUCUGUCCCUCUUUGGCCGACAGGUAGAGUAGCUUCUUGUGAUCCUCUAGCAUUUGGUCAAAUUUAGCCUUCUCCUUUGCACUUUCGCAAUCUCUCUGUACGUCGCGAAUGACAUCACCAAGAGCAUCGUCAUCAUCAACGAUACUGUUUCCUGCAUCCCCGUCUUCAUCACCUUCGUCCUCUACUGUGAAGUUGCAGUAUUGAGCAAAAACAUCGUCAGGGUACGCUUGCUCUUCUUCACCUUCUUCCAUCAUAACCCCAGACUCUCCGUGUUUGGUCCAACAAAUAUAGUUUGGCAUGAAACCAUUCGUGAACAAGUGCAAGUGAAUUUCUCUUGAGUUUGAAAAUUCCUUCAAAUUCUUACAAACGGCACAUGGGCAGCACAUAAAACCAUCCCGCUUAUUUUGCUCCGCCACUCUGCGGAAUUCUCGCACGCCCUCAAUGAACUCGUUGGAGCGGUGAUCAGCAUUGUACAUCCAAUGGCGUGCCAUUAUCUGCAUUAUCAUGGAAUUAUAAUUUUUCUAUUAAAAGCUAUAAUUUUAUCAGUAAAGAAAAUUAAUUUCAAUAAUUUUUAAAGUGAAAAACAAUUUAUUUAACAAUUACAACAAAAAUUAUAUUAUUAAUAUUUUAAAAUAAGAACAUGAACAUAUUAAAGUAGAAAAUAUCCUAUAAUAUCUAUAAUAGAACUUAACAUGAUUCGUGUAUACAUAGUAGUAAUGAUUUGUGUAUACUAGUUUUUAGCGGGCACACACUUAGCAUCGUUCAAAAAAAUUCAAACAUGAGAAGACGAUGAUUGGAGAGAUGGCAACAUGAAAUAAUCAAAAUAGACAUAUGUCCAAUAUGAAAUUACAUAUGGCGGUGAGAAACAUAGGAGGAUGAAGCUAGCAACCUUUCAAACAAAUCGACGACGGCGUAGAAGCGUUGAAAUGGAUCGAUCGUGGAAGAUGAGAGCACUAACAAGCAAGAACAAUGGAAGAACAAGCAAGAACAAAGCACCUCGAGCUCGGGCAGGGAGAGGAAGAAGGGAGGAGGGAGAUUCAAUUUAUAGCGGGGAGGGUUUAGUCCCGGUUGGUGUUACCACCGGGAGUAAAUACCUACCUUUAGCCCUGGUUAGUGCCAACGACCGGGACAAAAGCUUUAGUCCCGGUUAGUGUCACAAACCGGGGCUAAAGGUUUGUAUUUACUCCCGGUUGGUAACACCAACCGGGACUAAAGGUCCCUCUCCGACAGCGCCUGACACCAGAGGUUGGGGAGGGACCGUUAGUCCCGGUUGGCUUUACCAACCGGGACUAAAGAUUUCUUUUGUCCCGGGUGCUAAAAAUACCGGGACUAAAGCUCAUUUGGCACAUCGACGAAAGGUCUGUUCUCUAGUAGUGUACAAUCGGUUCUAGUUUCAGGUCGAGGAUGUCUUGUUAAAUGGUCUCUUUUGUCUCGUGAUCGACGACCCUCAUUUGCACAAACAAAUCUACAUGAUGUAAUUUUGCCAUCAGAUGUAUACCUUUUCCUCACCUCAAAGCCUUUUUGCCCACCAUAGCUAAGCCAAAAUGCCCAAGCCUCAUCUGAAUUUCUAAAUUACAUGCCAACAUAUGGUGCCAAACAAGGCAUCAAGGUCUCACUGUACAAGAAGAAGAAUACUACCAAGUAUGAGACUAAUGCAUAAAUAUACUAACCCAAAAACUCAUUUAAUCUUUUACUAAAAUUUGUGCCAAAGAGAACAUGAGUAGCGAUACUUGGGGACAACUAAAACUUACGAUAAAACAAGAUGGGGUUGUAUUACUUACGCAUUGGAACAUCGGUGUACUGUGUUAGCAUCUUCUUUCAUCUUCAGUAGCAUAGAAGUAAAUUUGAUUGCAGCCGUAAACUUGAGCUUCAGUCAAUCACUUCUUCGCCUUUGUAUCUCUCUCUAUCUCUCCUUUUUUCCCUUUGGAAGUAAAAGGAAGGCUAAAUAAUUGGGGAUAUUUUUCUCGCGCGAAAAUCUGCAGCCUUUGGUGCUAUUUUCCCUCCCACCAUCAGCAACAGGUAUGUUGUGGAUCUGGUUUCUUCAUAACCUGGUCAAAUCAAUAACGUAUAGUUAUCAUCACACGAUGAAAAUUACCUAGAGAAAACAAAGCAAUCAUCAAAGGUAGGGGAAAAAGACAUAGUGCUUCACAAAUCAUGCCGCUGCAAGUUAUUCACUGCGCGAGCAUCCUCAGGCACCAAUAAAAUUAUACUGAUAAACAAAGAAAAAAAAUGCAGCAGUUCAUGAGUUCUUACGAGGAUAUCUGCCCAUUCUUACCUAAAGGGACAGGUUGCCCUAUUCCAAGAUCUAAUCAACAAACCUAGGGUUUUUAAAAUGCCAAGCCACAAACAUAUAAAAGCAGACCAGCACAUUUCAGCCCCAAAUACAAAUAAACGAAUCCUACAAGGCUAACGCCGCCGCCAUCAGUAAUUUAGUCUAGCCUCAUGAAGAAGUUGAACUAAAGAAAACCUAGGAUCGAACAUGUACCUCGUUCACCCAGUUCAUGUUUCAGUCUUCAGCGCAUCCCCUCCAGUGAUUGCGGCUCGAGGCUACCAGUUCGAGCAGCAGGUCCGGGAGGUCCAGCGAGCGGCGGCCACCGGCUCGAGGCGCGUACAGGGGGAGCGGCGGGGGAGGCGCGACGAGCCCGAUGGCGCUCCGUCACUCUGUGUCCACGCAGAAAGGAAGAUGAGGCACGCCCAAACGAAGAAACAAUAAAGGGAGAAUGACAUGUGGGAUCGAUUGAUAACAGGUGAGACCUGUUGAUAACGGUCGUUAGUAAUGUUAAAACCUGUGUCAUCCCUUCAGGUUUUGAUUGACAAUUUGCAAUGAUAUGUGUGUAUUUCAUUACAACUCUUUUAAUAUAAAAAUUCUUAGCAAGUCGCUAUUUUAUUUGGCAAGUCAAAAAAUCUUUCUCCAACAAUAAAUCAUCAUAAGGGUGGUUUUUUUCCUGGAGCUAUUUGCAAAGUGAACAUAAAACUUUCUCGUAAUUAAUCGAACCCAAAUCAAAAAUUUUUUCUCUCUACGCAGUUUUACAAAGUGAACAUGGUAAAAAGUUUCUAUUUGCAUAGAUGCCCUUCUCUCCGUCUACGGCGACAGACGGAGCACAACGGCGGUCUCGCGGCUCUGGCACCGGCGUCAGGCGUCGCGCUCGUGGCCGACGGCGCGCCAGGCGGUGGGCGGUGGCCGAGCAGCGGCGGCGGGGUGAGCUGCGGCCGCGCUCGCGGCGGGAGGCGCGCCGGACGGCGGGUGGCGGGCGAUGGUCGGGUAGCGCGGUGCGAGGACGGGACGGACAAGCGGACUGGUGCAGCUCCGGAUUCAUCAAUUAGUGCAAUAUGUUGUAACCCCGAAUGUCGUGCACAGUAUUAAAUUCAUGCAUCACGUAUUUUAAUGCAGAUAAUACUGAAGAGAAACCUGUCAUGCCACUAGAGUGCAUACUAGCUAGUCUCUAGCAACAUCAAAACGUGAGAUGGUCAAGUUCAAGACAAAUUCUAAAUUCACGAUAAAAAGGCCAACCAUAGCAAUACACAACACAAACAGGAUGCCCAUAACCAUUCUAGACACACACACACAAAAAAAAGGCCACAAAACUCGCCUCAGAAAAGGCACCUGAGAAAAUCACCUUAGGUGAACCUCUACUGCUCUAGAGACUAGAGCCAGCAGCCGCGCACCCACAUCACUAACAGAGACAUCAUUUGGCCGCACAUCUCAGACGCAGCUCGUCACAGACAGCCCGCAGUCCCGCACGAUCGCUCACCUCGACCGCAACCAAAUUCCCAAGCGCACGCAGCAACACCGAGAUCCAAGCCACGGCACCAACAAGACUAAACGGAAACAGGGUCCUGGGUCCCCAAAAAACGCUCGCCCAAUUCUACACACGGAAGCGCCGCCCGCAAUCCCCACUACAAUUCCCCCCUGAAUCGUGUGCUUGAUAUCCAGUGUUCACUUAUAGUCUGGUCAUCUUAUCGUCGAUGGAGAAAAUGGGCCAACUAGGGCCCAAGCAGGGGGCGCCACCACCGCUGCAGCUGGGCUGCCCUAGGAGGGGCGCACACCCAAGAGGGGAGGGGCGCCAUGCCUACCACUGUCGUCGUCUCCGUCUUUGCUAUCUGUGGUUACCAUAUCUAGUCGCAGUUGGUUUUAGAAAGAGUUUAUUCAGAUAGAAAGUUGAGUUUUUGUUAGAUGGAAAAGAGAAUCUACGUUCGAUAAGAAUCUCCUAGUUUGCUUGCAAGUCAAGUCCCCUAGGGACUAUAAAUACUUAGGGAUAUGUAACGAGAUCAAUCAAGUAAUAGACGAGUGAAAGCCCUUUCCCUAUCUCUCUUCUCUCUCUCUCUCUCUCUCUCUCUCUCUCGCUUGCACACCACCCCCUCUCCCUUCCCUAGCCGCCGCCAACCUUGCCUACACCGUCAGUGACCGCCUCGGUCAUGACUAUUACACCUAGUAUCCAGAGACCAUAUUGAUCGCCAUGCUGCUACUAUGGCCAAAUUAGCUGAGAUCCAAAAGCUCAACGCUAAUUUCUCCAAAGACAUUAUUGCCAAGAUCGACACUGUCCACUCACAGAUUACCGACGUCAACAGCCACCUCAACACCUUCGAGAUGAGAUGCUUGGACAAGGACAUGGUUGACGAGCUUGAGCGUGGGAAGCAGCUACUCUCCAUCAAGCUAGAUGACACCAGAGAUGCAAUGGAGAAAGCUAGUUGUGACUUCAUCAAGGUGUAGACCGGAACUCGCCGCCAAGCUAGAGGCUAAGCUCUUCUGCAAGGAGCCCAAACCAGAGAUCCAUCUAGGUAGAGUUGCACCAACCACGUUCUUAGCACUGGAGAUCCAUCCCCACAUGUUGUCCUUCAUGACAUGCAAUGGCAAGGAGGACCCCUGCCACGGAUCAACAGUGAGAGCUAUUCUUUGGUCAAUGGAGCCUAGAGAGAAAAAACAUGGCAUGCUUCUUACCAUCUAACUAGUGCCGCACAAUAGUGGUACAUGAGACUCUUACAGGAUGAUGAUGUGACAAACUAGGCAUAGUUUGCUCAGUGCGUCAAUGAGCGCUUUGGACCUCCCAUGAAGCGUAAUCCUCUAGGUGAUCUCACCUCCCUAUGCAAGAUGAGAACCAUCAACGAAUACAUGGAGCGCUUCCUAGUGCACGUGGCUUAGGCUGGUAACCUUGACAAACGCUAGCAAGUCGACAUCUACAUCGCUGGCCUCCUAGAACCACUAAAUACGGAUGUCGAGCUGCUCAACCCGCAGGACAUGAAGACGGCCAUGUCUCUAUCACAGCCAUAUAAGUGGCAUUUAGCGGUCGUCAAUGAAGCCAACAAGGCAUUGGUUUUUAAGCUAGGGUGACUUCCUCCACCGAAGGUGACUACAACCAUGAUAACAACGACCACACCUACGACAACUAUGAUGGGUGCCACGUCACCAACACCCCACCCCUUCAAGCAUCUUACCGAUAAAGAGAUGGCGGUACAAUGUAGCGUUGGUCUCUGCUUUAGCUGUGAUGAGUUAUUGUCAUGUGGCCACAAGUGCAAAUUGUUGUUCGACAACACCAUUGUUAACAACUAUGACCUGGAGGAGGCUGAUGAUAGCCUCAUGAUGAUGAUCAGCAGGCUCCACAUAGAAGUCCAAGGCGCCUCCCUCAUGUACAUCGAGUGGAUGAUGAAUUACACAGGCGGUCUUAGUGGAUUUGGGAUUGACACAUAACGUCAUCAACAUCAACAUCGCCCGCUCCUUUGGUCUCUAGGAUCAGUGCAUCAACAUAACCAUACUCGUUGGCAACAACAAUGAGGUGCCAUGCCAUGGAGCAUCCUUCCAAGUACCACUAUGCAUCGGUAGCGACUCCUUUGACAUCGACACCUUCCUCUUCGACAUUAGCAACAUCAUCCAUGUCAUUCUCGGCAUGCCUUGGCUAGCUAGCUUCGAGCGUAUUACUCGGGACUUCAUCAGCAUGGAGAUGCUCUACUUCUACAACAGGCAUCCAAACACCUUCCAUGGCUCCCUUUUUCAUUAGGCGCAAAUAAUGGUGCUUGCACUCCUGGCACCCCCACUAAAGGUAUGUGAAAGAUCAGACUUCACCACUAGAACCUCCUUGUAAUGUGAUGAACAGGUCACAAAGAGCUUGACUCCCCAAUGCCCUUGACCUCUUUGAAGACCCCAAUGGCAUCAUGCUCACGCACCUACGCUAGGCCGUCAGAGAGCAGCAUGAGCUCUAUACAAUCACUAUGGCCAUCAUGGAGGGCCAGGUUGUGAAUGCUUGGUCUUUAGACAAAGGUCUCAUCUUCUUUGAUGGGUGAUUCUACCUACCUACAACCUUGGUGUCGCUACUGAGCCUUUUAUAGGUUUGUUGACAUGGUGGUUCCGCUAGCAUGGAGCUGCUAGCAUUGGGAGCGCAUGAACCACCGACACAAAGAAGGAUAGUUAACUGGGGUACCCUCCCAUAUUAUCUUGGGUCAUCCCUAGUUACUAUGACAUCCUAUAGUGGCAAUGAUGGUGAUCUUCUUCGACACAUUGAACCUUGGACCAUCCAUGUCGACAACAUCAACAUCGGGCUUCUUCUAGGCUCCAUCGACCACCGCAUGUCACCAGGCAAAUUCAACCGAGGGGCCUUCGUCUUUGGCUCCAUGUUGGACCUCAUGACAUCACCACCAACAUGCUCAACAAUGACAAUUUGGUGCCAAGUACAACUCUCCUCUAGCAUCGACAUCAACAACCACAUCCAUGGUUUCAUCACCCCUCCACGAGUGAUGCUUUUCUUCAGCUUCCAGGCCUCGGUACAAUGUCCUCUUCUUGUUGUAGCAAGGGCAGGCACAUAAAUGGGAUCUUCAGGCAACAUCUUCUACUAUCUCUUUGGCUACAUCGGCAACCUCUAGUACUGCUUUGAGUUUGCACCAGUAUGGGCAUGCGAGAACAUUAUUCUCACUAAUCCCCUUAGUGGCCACGUUAUGUGCUACUUGGAGGAGGUCCAGCACGAGGAGAUCUGCCACCAAAAGGAGUCAACGAAUGGGUCACAUGUCAGCACGAGGAGGCGUUGAGCGGAGGAGAGAGUACUGUCGAAUGCCCAACAUAGGCCAUACUUGUUGGCGGAGAAAAUGGGCCAACCAGGGCCCUAGCGGGGGGCACCAUUGCUGCCACAGCUAGGCUGCCCUAGGAGGGGCGCACGCCCAAGAGCGGAAGAGGCACCAUGCCCGCCACCACUAUCGUCUCCAUAAUUGCUACCUAUGGUUACCAUAGAUAGUUGUAGUUGGUUUUAUAAAGAGUUUGUGAAGAUAGAAAGUUGAGAGUUUAUUAGAUGUAAAGGAGAAUCCAUGUUCAAUCAGGAUCUUGUAGUUUUCUUGCAAAUCAAGUCCUCUAGGGACUAUAACUACUUAGGGAUAUGUAACGAGAUCAAUCAAGUAAUGGAUGAGCGAAAGCUCUUUCCCUAUCUCUCUUCUCUCUCUCUUGUGCGCCGCCCCCCUAGCUACUGUCCUAGCUCUCCAUGCCACCGCCCCUGCUUACACUGUUGUUGACCGCCCCGAUCACAACUAUUACAUGUAUAGUCUAUUUGUAUAUAUGAAAAAAAUAAUGAAGAACAUUUUUGAUCAUUAAACUAUGAGUUUUUAUUCUAGUCAUGAAACUCCUUUGGCCAUCCAACUAUCAGAACCGUGCAUGCGACAUCUCUCUCUCCAUGCGCAAUCUCUCUUAGCGCCAAUCACUCACAUUUUAAAUUUUAUUAGAGUGUAUAGCCAAUCUGACCCAGCUCGAGUAGGUGCCCCCUUAGGCCUAGGUCCACAAGAGCCCCCAACAAAUCAAUGCAUCGGGCCUAACUCAACACAAAAAAACUAGUCAGAUAUGUGAUGGUUUUCCCUCACUUAUAUGUUGUACUCUCCCAGCAUCAAUUUCCCUAGCAAUGCCCCAGAUCACACAUCAGACUCAACUCUUCGAAUCACACAAUUCUUAUGUAACCUCUAGAAGAUGUUAUCAAGGCCCCGAGUCCAACGCUCCAUGUCACAUACAACCCGAGUCCAAAUCCUUCAUGUCACACACAAUCCAUGUGAUCUUCAAGAUGUUAACGGGCUUCCUCACCACCACAUGGCCCCUAAGAUUUGUAGUUAGAGCACUUGGGCAACAUCUAGCAAACCUACGUUCGACUCUAUGUGGGAACGAAUUUAAACAGGUCUAGAAUAAAAAAACAUAAAAAAUAGGUUGGGGUUUUCCUGUAGACUUUGGUAAAGAAAAGAUUUUUCAAGCCUUUCGACCAUGGACUCUAACAUCAAUUCUUAGAGUGCAUAACAGAUCUAUUCCAGUUCUCACCUAUACCCACAAGUCAGUGCCCCUCUACGCCAGGUCCACUAAUAAAUCAAAGAAAUAAAGCUAACUCAACCUAAACGACUAGUCUAUAGAUUGGGAGAACCAUAAAAAAUGGCUAACAUAGAUGGGUGCGUCCCAUGCCUAUGUUAAUAAAUUAAAAAUAAUAGAGAUAGCCUGUCGACGGGGCCUGCUAAGUCAAUCCACAAGGCUCGCCAAGCACAUUGACUUGGUGCCCCUGCCCAAACACCUAUCUCACCAUUGCCUGAUAGAGCCUGAGGCCUAGAUCUUCCUCCUCUAGCUUGUUCCCAUCUACAUCGCCACUGAGAGCAGCCCCACGCACGCCAAGGGGAGAAGCGCGGCCUGCCCCUGUGCUGCUGGUCAGAGUUGCCCACAAAGUGCACAUCACUGAGCGUGCAUGUAAUUAAUGCCACCAUGGCCGACCUCGCUCCCUCUCUGUGAGUGCACUCCAUGUGCAUUGAGUACCAUCACGUGACCUUAUCAGCAUGUCUCUAGCACUAUUUCUUCCCUCCAUGAUGAGCUCAAGUGCAAGGCCACGACCCUCCCAAACUACUCCACGAUGAGCUCAAGUGCAAGGCCAGGCCCUCCCCAACUACUUAUUUGAGCCAAGGCAUUGCUGGAGCCGGGUUGCCCUCACAAGCUAUUCACAUCCCCAGUGGCGCACCACACUACCACUUGGGUUUUCCAUGGGUGACAACUUUCACUACUUAUCCAUUGAAUCUGAGCCUGUUGUGAGCUUACAAACACCUUGGAUAUCAUCCUCCACCCCUCUUUUGAGCUUGGCCAUGCCAAAUUUGGCCUAUAUGCCCAAUCAUGGCAAUCCUAGGAUCAGCGUUUGGCCACCGUGUGGGAGGGAAGUGCAAGGGAGCACGAGUGCACACUAGCUGCAGUGGCCUCCGCAGCUGGAGCCAAGUUCAUGGUGGGUGAUGGUGAUGGUGUGCACCAUGUCCAAGCAUGUAGCUAGCACUCUAGUGAGCAUUGUGGCCGGGUUAAACCAGUGAUGCAAUGGAAAUUAUAGGAGAGAACAGUUGGGAGAGAGGGAGAGGACUGCAGUUUAAGAGGAUGUUGUGGGGAAGAGAAAGAAGAGGGAACAUGAAAUAUGACAUGUGGGCCCAGCUAACAUGUGUGGUUCACUAAGCGAAAAUAGCUAGAUCUCUAGUUGUUAACAAUUUUGAUAGUGGAACUGUAAAAAACUUCUGGGUUUGAAGUUUCAUGGCACAAAUCAAUAUCUUAAUGAUAAAAAAAAAGGAUUUUCCCGAAAUCAGUGCUAUUUCAAACCAAGAAAACUGGAGGACAUUUUUGUUACCUUUUCACUCAAGAGGCAAAGUGCAUCAUCUGGCUGAAGAACUUGAAGGUUGCACACAACUCCAUGUUUUCCUGAGCAGUGGUAGGCAAUAUUCUCCUCCCUCGUAGUGAUAAUGAUUCGGCUCGUAUUUUCCAAUAGAGGUAAUAACUUUGGUUUUAUCAAGUCCCAUUCAGAGGUCUCAAAGAAAUCAUCUAGAACAAUCAAAGAACUUUUCUUCUCUAAUAGUCUUUUCAACUCCUUAGUCAAGUUGUCGACGUCCAUCAAUGCUAAUGAUUUCUUAUUGUUGUUUCCAUUUUCUAAUAGUUCUUGAUUCUUAGAAGAUCCUUCAUGUAGUUGUCUGGCCAAGCUCCUAAGGAACUCUUCAAGAUUGAAAGGACGCAUAAUUGUGAUGAAAACGUACUUCUCAAAUAUGUCACUCAACUUUGGGCUUUGAUAAACACCACCAACUAGGGUGGUUUUCCCAAGGCCACCCAUUCCCCACACAAAGAUCACCUGAAAUUGUUGGAUAUUAUCACUAUUUGAAACUAAGUCUAUAAUUUUAGAUAUUUCUCUGUUUCGCCCGAUAAGUUGCAAUUCCUCCAAACCACUCACACGCGUCCUAGUGCGACUAAGACUCUUUUUAGCCACCUUCUUCUCAUCAGCAUCCAUAGAUUGAUCAUCUGUAAUCUCACCAUGAGGUGCUAUUUGAUUGUCGGUACUUGUGGUUGCCACAUCCAAGAUAGACACUGGCUUCACCAAAUCCUCUCCAUUUUGGGAACCCUAAAUAAAAGAGAGAAAUAUUAAGGAACAACUUUUAGGCUUAAAUUUUCAUGAACAAUGUUUAGUUUGUUUUCAGUCAUGAAAGCAUAUCAUUAGUUUGUACCCUACUCCAAACCUUAGCUUGAGAUCCAAAUUUUCAUGACUUAUAUUAGAAUUCUCAAUAAGACACAUAUUAUAUGAAAUUUAAAGAAAUAAAUUUAAUCCAAAUGACGAGAGGAUACAUUUGCUAUAUCAAACCAUCUUACUAUAAUCUCUAUGAGAUAGAGGAAAAUAUAUCUAACUGGAUAUGAAAUCAAAUACUCCAUAUCAAAAUUAUGUGUAAAAUAGGAGCUUCAAAUUUAAUUGUGCAAUAGACCUGUGCUCGAUUACUUACAGGUACUAUCUUGCAGGUCAAUAUGUUAACCAGUCUACUACAUCCUAUACAUUAUUUUUAAGGCAAGACAUCUAAUAUAUUUACCUGGUAUAAUUAAGAUCACUGAAUAUGAAGCAUGCCAUCAUCAAUUGUGGCGUCAAACAACGGGGUCAAUAUGUUUUUAGGUACUUGCCUUUUUUUUUGGAUUGUUGUCUUAUUUGAUGUCUAGACCAUCUCCUUUUCUAGCAUGCGCUAGCUAAAUUCUAAGAUAUAGAUGUAUUUGUUUUCAAAAAUCCAAAUACAUAUAUUUGUGGCUGUAGUAUUAACAUGUUGAGUGCAUGCAUUCUCGAAAGGCAAAUGAAAUUCGUUGAGAAAAAAAAGGCACAAAUAAAACAAAGGACUGGAAGGAGCAUUCUUUUGUUGCAUUAGAUCAUGUGUUUCUAGUGCAAUGCUACUCCAUCUCCGAUCCAAGAGUAUUUUUAAAGCUUACUCUUUAAAUCAUCAUUCGGAGAGUUAUUUGAAUAAAACUCAUUUUCUGUAUCUUUUCACUGUCUAAUGGUUUUUCUGUAUUUUGUUUGCAUUCUAAAGAGUCAUUCUUAUUUUAUAUCUUUGGCUAGUGAGAAAUAUUUCUAGACUAGAAAAUGGCUAUAUUUAAAUAACCAAUUAAAGAAGUUAUUGGAGGAUAGUUUUUCACCAAAAUUUCUAUUCCUAACCAUUAGGAAGAAUAUAGUCUCUUAGAGCAUGUCCAAGAGUUCCCAAUAAUUUCGUCCCAAAACUAUCUAUGAUGUUUUCCAACAUGCCAAGAAGUAUUAGCAUAAGAUCAUUUCCAACCGUUUCUAAUAGUUCACUCCUAAAAUAUAGAAAUAAAUUCUAUCAGGAAUCCUAUACUAUAUCUAAAUUAUGCUAACCAUCUUUAUAUAUUAUUUGUCUCUAGUGCAUUUGCAUCAUUAAACCUUUUUUUACUCUUUAUUCAGUCUCUUCAUCUCUGAAUAAAUAUGGUGUUUUUUAAGAAGCAAUAUGGUGUUCUAUAUGCUUGGUUUUUGAUAAAUAAAUAAAUAAACACCAUAUUGCUUCUGAAAAAAAACUACAGUUUGCUAAAAAUGAUUCUUUGGUGAAUGUGCAACCAUUGCAAGUGCUAAAGUUCCUUUACCCCACAGUAACCCUUAUGCUCACUCUCUUAGGCUCAACUCGUCAUCAUUUCAAACUAAAUGACACGUUCAAAAUUAUAAAUAAAUAAAUAAAUAAAUAAACACCAUAUUGCUUCUUAAAAAACAGUUUGCUAAAAAUGAUUAUUUGGUUUUGAAACUUGGUCCUUGCGCAAAUUGUAGCUCAAACAGAUGGGUGUAUCAUGCUAUAUAUCUCCCUCAUUCCUCCAAAAGUGUGAUGUUACUCCUCUGUCUCAAAAUAUAAAGCAUCACUACCGGAGAGCCGGUCUUUGCCGUGUGUCCCUCCGUUUGCCGUGAGCAACACCAGACACACGGUAUAUCUAUCAUUUGCCGUGUGUUGCACAUGGCAAACACCAGGCACACGGCGAACUCAACUUUUGCCGUGAGCAACACACGGCAAAAACAUGGCACACGGCAAAAGCUAACCCACGCUAACGUCCACCUCCAACGGUCAACGUUUGCCGUGUGCGGCCAUUAGGCACACGGCAAAGCCUGGGUUUGCCGUGUGCCAGGGGUGCGACACACGGCAAAUAAUUUAUCUUUUUUUCAGUUUUUGUCCUCAAAAUUUUUCCUUCUCUACACAUUCACCAUUUGUAACUCCAUACUCAAAUUUCAUAAAAUUUAAAACAUGUUUGCUAUAUUUUUGCAAUUAACAUUAUUUAUUUUCAUUUUUCUGGUUGCGUUCAAAUUUGAACUACGAGUCAAUAAAAUAGUUGUAAAAAAUAUCAAAAAAAUAAUAUUCAUGUUACCCAAUCCUGUUUGAGAACACACAUUCGAAAUGAAAAUGACUUUUGAAUGCCGUGGUUAGGAGACACGACGCGGAACGUGCGUCAGUACAUUUCAAAAAUUCUAAUAAAUGCUAUUUUAUUCCGUAAAUCCCGAAACUUGUAGAUAUGUCAUGUUAUCAUACAUAGAGGCCAUAAAAAAAGUUUGGAAAGAUUUCGAACAAGUUGUCAUGUAUGAUGUAUAGAAACCACACAGUCUUGUAAGAAGUUGCACAGAGAUAAGAGUGAAGAAGAAUGAGUUGGAGUAGAUUUGACUUUUAUAUUUGAGUUUGAUUUUAAAACUUUUUCUAUAGGCACUACACCAUAUAGGUUGUGUCGUGUCCAAGUUUAGGAAUUUUUCGGAAUUGUUUACUAUUUCUUAAUUAUUUUCAGCAUUUUAAUUGAAAAUUUUAAAAUUUCAAUUUUUUAAAUAACCUCGGAUGGAAAAACUCUCUAAAUAAACUUUAUAGAUCUCAAAAAGUUAUGAAACUCUUUAGUUGACAACUUUUUAUUUUGGAAUCAUCUUGUCAUGCAAAAACUACGUUUGAAUUUCUCAAAUUUAAAAUUCAAAUUUUGUAAACGACCUCGGAUGAAGAAACUCCCUAAAUGAAAAUUGUAGAUCCCAAAAAUUUAUAAAACUUUGUAGUUUACAACUUUUUGAUUUGAAAUCAUUUAGAACCUCAAAUUAUCAAUUUACACAUAAUUUGAUAUAAUAUUUGAGCAACUGAAAUGCAAUAUAAUGACAAGUCAUAGUGUGGUGCAGUGGCUAAGAGCUAAGUAACACGAGGGAGAGGUCAUGGGUUCGAAUCCCAUGGGCCGCAAAAAAAUUCAGGACUUUUGAUAUUUUUCGUUGGGGUUUGUCGUGUGCCCAACCCUGACACACGGCAAAUAUUGAGGCCGUCUUCCGCCGUUCGUUAUAUUUUCUUUAUCGUGUGUCAAGAUUGACUCACGGCAAAGUUUCGCCGUGUGCCCAUAAUUUGGUCGUGAGUAAAAAUAGGGUUCACCGUGAAAAAGUUUGUCGUGUGUUCUUUGCCGUGAGCAACACACGGCAAAGCCUUCGCCGUGUGUAAUUUGGACUUUGCCGUGUGCACCAGGCACACGGCAAACCCCUGCUGUCCGGUAGUGCAUGCAUGUAUUUCAAAAAUCAAAUUUUGUUAUCUUUAACCAACUAGUUGUUUAAUCAUACAAAAAGUUGAUAGUACAAAAGCGGUAUCAUUAGGUUUGUGUUUAUAAAUACUUUCUAAUAAUAAUGCUUUUGUUGUCAUAAUUACAUACUAUAAGAGAAAUUAACCGAUUUUUUCUUGAAUAUGUAAGAACAUUGCGUAUCAUUGUACUAAGAAGAUAGAAGUUUUAAAAUCAAGAGAGAUCAUUCCCAGCUAGUAGUUUCCUAGCUGAUUUGGGCCUCUAAAUUUGUGACCACCUGAGCCGGGUUUAAUGUUGUCAUCAUCCUCUCAAAUUCAUUGAAUCUCUCCGCCAGCGGGGAUGCCUCCUCCCCGUCGGCUCCUACCUAGCGCUCAACGACGCUUGUCAUAAAAAAAAUCCUUUGUUGGGUGAAACAAUCACACAAACAUUUGAAUAUAGGUGUAAAAUUGUAUUCAUUUUACGGUUUUACUGUACAUGUCAAAGAGGUAUUUAAAGAGGUCAUAGCCCUCAUAAGUCGUAUACAAAUGACCAUUUUACCCCUCUUUAUAAUCAAUACAACCCCUUUAAAUUACAGGGGUGUAGGUGUCCUUUCAUCUUCCAGAGUUCAUUCUUCAUUAUCUUUUGUCAAUCUUAGAAGUCACUUUCUUCAAAGGUGUCUUCGCGCACCUGAACUUGAAUGUUUUAUCAUGAAUCUUCUAGACUUAAGUCGAGCGAACUCUUCGAUCAUUCUUCACAUUACCUAGGCAAACGUGUUUGCUUCAAGCAAAGUCCAUGGUCUUUUUACUUGUUCUGAGCGAAGUCAUUUUUUCCUCAUUUGCUUUAAGGUUCUGAAAGCAAACUUUUGUACAGAGGUUAGAUGUUCAACUCCAAAGUUUUAGGGCUGCAUUUUUUAUCGAAGUCAAAUCUCAACAUCGUCUGCCCCUCCUCUCUCUUUACCAGACUUGAGAAAUUAAUAUUUUAAUAGAUACAAUGUCUUCUGGUAAAUGACCAUGAUUUUGUAAUGGUGCCUAGCACAUAUUAGUGUGUUAUUGACUUAUUGGUGUGAAAUGGUCAAUUUCAUUGAAGUUGGAUGUCCAUAGCGAUUUGCCAAACAAAAAAUAAUAUUUGGUUUUGAAUUGUUCUUGACUAUCUCUUUCCUCAUGUCUAAUAGCUUUAGCUACGCAUCUAGAUAUAUAUUAUAUCGAUAUAUAAUAAAAUUUAUGUAUCUAUAAAAGCCUAACAAUUUUGAAUUUGGAACGGAGUGAGUAAUAGGUAGAUAGAGAAAAGAAGAGAUAGAAAGUAUUAGAGAUAGAGACUAGCAUGUCUUGACGGCUUUGUGAGGAAUCGACUGAUUUUAGAACUCUGGUAUGGCACUGAUAGACAAUCCGGCAUAUUUUCAGUUGAUUUAUGUUGUAGUAUAUGUUAAUGCCGACAAGUACAUUUAAGGCCAGUCUCAAUACAUGUUUCAUGAAAGUGUCAUGCAUAUUAAAUAGGGUGCCACAUAAGUAUAAUUGCUGACUUGGUAGGGCCAUUAAAUGAAGGAGUUUCGUCAUCAUAUGAGAGAGGAGUUUCAUCCCCAUGAAACUCUUGUGGCUCGGUUACCUAGCUUAUAGUCUUAGUAACUGUGUCAUAAAACUAUGCACUGAGACUAGUCUAAGAGGAAAACUAAGCCGCAGCUUUGUAAGCUUAAACGCAUUUUUUAUAAGUUUCAUAAAACAAGGCAUUAUAUGUACCUUAUGCCUUCGAUCGAAACAUUAUUUUAAUUUCAAUUUUAAAAAUAUCUUCCCCAAUACAAAGUUGGAACUACAACAAGGUCUUGUUUAGUUCCUGCAAAAGGGUUUUUUAGUACUAUAACAUAUUUCUAAUUAUAGCAAUUAGUAUUCAAUCAUUAAUUAUCACAAUAUAUAUAAAUUAUAUAAUAAAUUAUUUUUUAUCUAUAUUUAAUACUCCAUAGAUAUAUCCAAACAUGGGUGAAAAACAAGGCCUUAGUUUUAUUCUUUAUAUGAGCUCUUCCUAAGCCCAGGGAAAGGGACACACAAACAACAAACCGAUCCGCUUUAUCUGAGGCUGAGCCCAGGGACCGAAGUUCAACUCUACUCAGAGGCCAGGGACCAAGGUUUAAUUAUUUGAAAUUGACAGGGGCCGCACGAGUGCAAAAACCAAUCCGCCUUAUCUGAUCUCAGGGACAGUUCAUCCAAAAUAAAAUACAUCUGAGCCCAGGGACCAAACUUUAAUUAUAUUUCUCAGAGCUAGGGAUCAAAAGUUUAAUUCUUUAAAAUUGGCAGGGGCCGCGCGAACGCGUACCCCCUCUACCACAAAUUAUGACGUCCACUCUCCCUCUUGGGGAGAUGGUAAGCUAGCGCACCCGCCAAGUGCAAUGCGGGCCACUGACCUAGGCCACGGGCCUUCAUGACCAACCGUCGACCCCGUCCAGGUAAGUAUGGAGCAACGGUGCAGGGGGCGCUUGUCUUAUAGCGGGAGCUCGCAGCGCAUCCAGCUUCCGCUGCCGAGGUGGUGCUAAACGAAGCGUUCUGCCGUGUUCUGCCGCUGAGUUUUUAACUUAUGGUGGGCUGCCCGAGACAUAGAGACGUAUAUGGGCCUUUAGGAUUUGGCCCACUAGGAACAGUAAGACUGCAGGCUGCAAUGAAUCUGCUAGGCUCCCUAGUUGUUCCUAAAAAAAAAGGGUAUGGGAAUAGUUUUCUAGGAUUAUUAUAAUUUAUAAGCUCUGUUGUUUUUUCUAAUCUGCAGCUACAUGCUCUCGUGGUAUAAAUGAGAGAAUUUUUUUGGAAAAAAAAGGCAAGAAAACUUACACAUGCUGCUACUCUGCUUUGAGACUGGGCAAGAGAAUGGCUUAAACCACAACCUGAACCUGAAGCGAACAAGUCCAAGAUUAUUUCUUAAUAAUAGGUUUAUGACUAUGCGUUGCAACAUUAGAAAAAAAAAAGUAAAAAAAAAUUUUUUGACCACAAUGAGGAGGGGCACAAAAACACAUGUAGUUGGGAUAAUUCCUGAUUUGUUAGGGCACUCCCAAUGCAGACUCUAUCAUAGUUUCUAUAGUUAUUUAUUAUCUCUCUAUUUAUUGACUUUUGCUGAUGUGACAUUGUAUUUAUUGAACAAAGAGAGGAGAAAUACAAGAAACCGAGUCUCUUGGUGUCCGCGCGUGGCCCGUGUAGCCGCCGGGCAUGUGUGACUGCGCCGAGCCGCACAGCAUCAGCCUCGCGCAAGUCCACGAUGCGCUCGCCGCCCCUGCAGUACACGGUUAUUUACUGAGUUUUAUUAUUCCUCUGUCCGUGAUGAUCGCAAUCGAAUCCGGCUCGUGAACCGUACGUGUUUCAGUCAACGUGCCAUCCGGAUUUAUACCCCUCCCUCCCUCCCUCCCGUCGCCGCUCCUUUCUUCUUUGUUUUCAAAAUACCUCGCCACAUCCGUCUCCAUCGUGCAGAAAUCUCACCAGCACCGUACCUCUCACCGUCGCCGCGACACCAUCUAGCUAGCUAGCUCGCCCGCACCUCACCGACGCCGCGGCUCAUCCAAUCACCUCACCGCAGCAUUCUGUACGUGCGGAUGUGGCAGCUCCAAUUAAUCACCUAGCUUCUUAGCUCUGGAGUCUGGACGGUGGCGGCUGCGGCGUACCAUCUGCAAUGACCGCGACGUCCGUUUCUCACCAGCGACCUCGGCUACAACCUGCAACGGCGCCCGACGGCUGCGGCUCAUCCCACCCCGUUGCCACCGGUGAGUGUGGCAUGUGUGCUUGCAGCCCUGUUCACCGUCGCUGAGUGUGGCAUCUGCUGCAGGCGGCGAUCGACGACCUUCUGACGCUCCUCUUUGUGGUGGUUUCAGCAAUGAUGACGCGCCGGUGGUGUGGAUAUAUAUGGCGAUGCCUCCCUUCUACACCCUCCGGCCAGCCAUGGGUGAAUCCCAUGUUAUUCUUUUUCGGUUUUCAACUUUCUUUAUGGCCUUCGUUGCAGUUUGAAAGGAUUCCUUGUGGCGUCAAUAAUGAUCUGGACAUCCCGUGCCUGGUGGCACGGAUCCGAUCGACGGCGGUUCAAGCAGAUCGACGACGAUUCUUUUUUUUUUUUUUGUGAAUGAUGAUUAAUUCAUUCUAAAUAGGUUUAAGGUUGCAGGAGUUGAUUUUCUACACCAUGUAAUUCUUAUAAUACAGAUACAAGUUUCCGCUAUUUUUAUUGGCCAUUCCUGUUCUUGUACACGAGCAAUACUGGUUAAUUCAUGUCAUUGUGUUAUAAAGGUUACCAAUUCAUAAUUACUAUUAUUCACUAUGAAUAAAAAACUUAUUCAUGUUAGAAAAAAACUUAUUCCUGUUAAAAAGUAGUCUAACCAGAAACCGGACACCUUUUACUUCUCAUAUCCAAAUUUACCACUCACAUAUCAGUACGGAGAAACUCCAGCCCAAGUCUUUUAUUUACAAGCUAUGAUAAAAAAAAGUAGGGGCUCAAAUUAAGACCCAACUCCAAUGAAAAAAACAGACCAAGUCCUUAUCUCACAUAUUUUUGUUUUAAUUUAUGGGUGGGGAGAGAAAAGUGGGUAGGAUCCAUUGGAUAGGAGGGUUCUAGAUGGGAGGGGCUGAAACUAUAAUUUGGAAGGGCAUGGAAAAUGGGAGCCCAAGUAGAAGGUGGGUUGGAGUUAAUUUUUUUGAUCAAGUCCUUAGAUUUAGAAUAGAGACUUGUUUAGGAGGUGGGCUGGAGUUGCUCAACAAUGAUACAAUUAGUAACAAAAGUCUAUCCGGAGACUGGAUGCCUCAUUGAUUAGUACAGACAAAUUUACCGCACAUAGCCAACCUUUUGUUACUAAAAAUUGUCAUUGUAAAUUCUAAAAUAUAUCUUAUUCAACAUGAAGUUGGCUGUAAUAUUUACGAAUCCAGAGAUAAUUUUACUCCUAAGCGCCUGGACGAAAUUAUUUAUAAGCUCAAAAGAUAAUAUCAGUAAUAAAAAAUACUCUGACUGUAGAACGACUAUGACAACCAAUUUAAUUGCCUACUGCUAAGGCUGAAAAAAUUUAUAGACCAAAAUAAAAAUCUUAGUAAUAAAAACAGGCUGACCACGUUGGUGAUUAUUACAAGAAAUUUUACUAGACACGCCCAAACAGAAUUAUUUACAAGCAUAACUAUUAAUAAUAAAAAUUCUCCCAUCCAGCCCGCUAGAUUAGCGCAACUAAAUUUACUGCUCACAAAUCCCAACAAAAUUAUUAAUGGGCCAAACGAUAAUAUUAGUAAUAAAAUAAUACUAGUAAUAAAAAAAUACUUCGCUGAUUACCACAUACAAAUUUACUGCUCAUAGGUUUGGAUGGAAUUCUAUACUCAAUGAAAUAAUAUUAUUAGUAAUAAAAUUUGUCUAAUUGGAGACCAGAGAUGUGGGUGAUUAACAUAGGUAAAUUUAUCGUUCAAAAACCAGAAUACAAUUAUUUACUUAAUAAAAUAAUACUAUCAGUAUUAAAAAAAAGUCUUGCUAGAGACCGAACACGCUGGUGCUUAUAGCACUGAGAAAUUUAUUGCUCACAUACCAGGAUAGAAUUAUUUAUGUAACAAAAUAAUACUAUUAUUAGUAGAAAAAGUCUCACCAGAGACUAAACACCCUGUUGAUUAGCAUAGAGAAAUUUACUGCCCAUAGGCCAGGAUGGAAACAUUUAAUGUAAGCAAUAAUACUAUAGUAACAAAAGUAGUCUAAUUGAAGACUGAACACCGGUUGCUUAUCGUACCCAAAUUUACCACUCACAUGUCAGUAUGGAAUUAUUUUUUAACAAAAUGAUACAAUUUAUAAUAAAAAGUCUAUCCAAAGACCGGAUGCGCUAAUGCACUAAUAGAAGUUGGUGAUGUUCAAUGGUAGGAGCGUAUUAUCCGCAACGAUUCACCCAAAACGACUGCGAAGGUUUGAGGAAACUAAGCAAAAGGGUUGUAUUGAGGGGGGCCUCGUCGGGUCCGGCCGUUCGGACGGAACGCGUCGUCCGGCAGACUCCCGCGCCCCAAUUCCCGCCUGGCGCCCACGACGAUUCCUCUUUUUCUUUUAGGAGAUCAAAUAGCACCGUGCACUAUAUAUUUAAUGAACCUUAUUAACUGUUUGUUGGUCGAAUUAUUUUGACUGUUUUUCUGAACUGUUUUUUUAGAGCGAGCUAUACAUUUUCUAAAUAACUGUUAUUGAAUAAAUUAGUUGAUAAUGGUUUUAGUGCCGAAAAUUACAUUUACCUCUGCAGCGCAGGUCGUUUUCAGACUGUUUCCAAAUUAGACCUUUAAUAAUGUACUUUUUCUAUGGCCGGUGCUGGUACGUAUUUAUUCUCACCCAUAAUAAUUAAUUUUGGCUUGUGACUUUAUCAUGCGCAGCUAGUGCGAGGAGAUAGUGGAGCAACAUAUCCAUGUUAGUUACGACGCAUGCACAUAAUGACUUUUAAUGAAAAAAGUCAUAACUCUUAAACAAAAUAUCCAAAUUAAAUUUCGAUUACACCAUUUGAUUUCUUGUAAUAAAUCCUUCAAAACAAGAUCUCACAUGGAUAUAUUUAGAUAAAAUUUUAAUAACGAAUAAUUAUCAUAUAAAGAUAGAACAUUUUUGUAUUGAGCUGAGACGAUGUUUAAGGUUUAAAAAAUAAUGUUCUAUCUUCAUAAUAAAAUAUUCUAAGAACCGUAUUGGUAUUAUAAACAUGGCGACGAUGUUCCAUCUUCAUUAAAAAAUAAUGUUCCAUCUUCAUAAGAGACGAUGUUCCAUCUUCGUUAUAGUUAGCAAAUCAAGUAUCCAAAUUAAAUUCAGAUUGCACUAUUGGAUUCCUUAUACUAAAUGCUUCAAAAUAAGAUCUCAACAUGAAUAUAUUCAGAUAAAGUUUUAUUAACGAAUAUGUAUUUUAUAAAGAUAGAAUAUUUUCUUUUAUUAUUGAAUAAAGGUGGUGUUCUAGAUUCAUAAAACAAUAUUCCGCCUUCACAGAAAAAUGUUUUAAAUUUAGAAAAAACAAUAUUCCAUAUGAAAACACACUUAAAUGAUUGGUAUUAUAAUACCGAUAAAUAAAUAAAAUAAAAAUAUAGAAUUAUAUAAUAAAUAACAUUACACAAGUAGAACAUCAUGUGUAUAAUAUAACAAAUGAAACAUGGGAAAAUACUACAUAACAUGUUGUAUAAAUACUACAUAACAUGUUGUAUGAAUACUACAUAAUAUGUUGUGAAAAUACUUAAAGAUAAUCAUAAAGUAUCUCAUUCAUCAUGUGUAUACCAUAUACAAUGGAAUAUGGAAAAAAUAAAAGGCAAACAUCACAUGUAUGUUAAGUGAACAUAACUAAAUACAUUACGGAACAUCACUAAAUAUAUUAUAGAACAUCACAAAUACAUUACAUGAACAUCACUCAGUACAUCAUAGAACACCACAUGUAUACUAAGUGAACAUCACUAAAUACACCAUAGAACAUUACUAAAUACAUUAUAGAACAUCAUAUAUAUAUUACCUGAACAUCACUAAAUAUAUCAAAAAAACAUCACAUGUAUACUAAAUGAACGUCACUAAAUUCACUAUCGAACAUUAACAUGAACAUCACUAAAUACAUCAUAGAGCAUCACUAAAUACAAUAUAGAACACCAUUAAAUACACUAUAGAACAUCACAUAUAUAUUACGUGAAUAUCACUAUGUACAUCAUCAUAUAUACUAAGUGAACAUCACUAAAUGAACCAUCGAACAUCACCAAAUGCAAUAUAGAACAUCGCCAAAUACAAUAUAGAAUGUUGCAUUAUCAGAUAUAUAUUACACGAACAUCACAAAAAAAAUCGUAGAACAUCACAAAAAUACCACAUGAACAUCAAAAAAAUAUCAUAGAACAUUACAUGUAUAACACAUGAACAUCAUAGAAAACCAUAGAACAUUACAUAUACUACAUAAACAUCAUAAAAAAACAUCAAAAAACAUGGCAUUGUAUACCACAUAAACGUUGCAAAAAACACCAUUUUACAUCACAUCUCAUGAAAUAUAGAAAAGAAAAAAGUAAAUAUAAAAAAUAAUUAAGUAAGAUAAAGUAGAAAAAUAAAAAAUCUAUAAAAAACAUAAAGACAAAAAAGAAAUAAAAAAGAAUAAAUAAAACUAAUUAAUGAUAGUAAAUAAAAAAUAAAAUAAAAAUAAUAUGGAAAAUUGAAUGAAACAGAAACAAAAAAUAAUAUCACUCGCUUCCUAUGAUAUUAGUCCACUAAAAAAAAUUAAACAACCACCAUAGGAUCAAUAUCAAGACGUUUGUAGCGUUUCAAUCACAUGCAUGCAUGUAUUCCACAAAAAUAAUCUAAUAAACACCUUUGUAACCAGCACUAAAUUAAUGUGUUGCCAAAAGAAACAAAAAAAUAAAAAGAUGAAUGAAAUAAAAAAUAAAAAAAAAGAAAGGGAAAAAUGAAGCGCAAAAAGGAAUAAAAAAUAAAGAGGAAAAAAUAAAAAAAAGAUAAAAAUAUAAAAUAACAUAAAAGAAAAAUAAAAAUAAAUUGAAUCUAUAAACAUGAAUUAGGGAAAAAGAAAAAGAAAAAAAACAAAAUAAAGAAAAGAAAAAAUCCCAAGAAAAAACAAAUAGGAACAACAACGGGCAGGAAGUAUAAAUGAAAAGAUAAAGAAAAAUAAAAUAAAAUAAGAAAAAAGAAAAAGAAAUAAAUAAAUAAAAAGAAAAAGAAAAAGAAAAAAAAAAGAGAAGAAAACUAACGGGGAGGGAAAAAUAAAUGAAACAUAAAAGGAAAGAAAAGAAGAAGAAAAGAAAAGGAAAGAAAAAACAAAAAAGGAAAAGAAAUUAAAAAAAAACAUACGUACCUGGCAGCCCCGUGCGCGCAGGAAUGAUUGAGCGGGAACCGUCGGACGACGUCUCCGGUCCGAACAUUCGGACCGGAAGAUUUCCGUGUAUUGAGGUGGGUGGGGGCAUGAAGUGUUUAGCGGCAUCCCAACUAUGUAAAAAAAGUGCAUUAUUACGACUGCAAUGGUAGGAGCGUCAUAUAUGCUGUUUUUAUUACUAAAGUUCCUUUAGACAAAGUUUCCCCAAAACUCGGACUCAGUUUCAAAACUAAUCGCCUUAUGCUUAGUUUCGGAUCAUCUUUCUUUAGCAAAAGGGUGGUGCUACGUGGCACUGCUGUCAGCACCCUUUAGUCCUGGCUCGUAAUACCAUCCGGGACUAAAAGGGGGGUCUUUAGUCCCAGAAGCGUAGUCUCGGCUCGGGAUCCGGGGCAAAAGCCCCUUCUCGGCCAGUACUAAAGAGCGAUCGUGUAGGAGUGAAUGGCUGGUAGUUCUAGACAUUAUUGUCGAUGGGAAAACCACCAUGUGCGGAUUGUGUGGCUGGCACUAGCACGAGUGCUGUUUCUAGUGUUACGACACUAAUUAAGUUGCUGCCUAUUGGUUCCUGGUGUGAAACUUUAUAGGGCGAUGUGUUAACUAGAACUGCUUUGUCAGCUCGUUACUUAGUUUUGAGCCUGUUGGUAUGUGUCUUUGCAUGCCCUGCCACGAUUUGGGGUCUUGUCAGCUCAUUUGCAUGGUUAGUUUUAUCCUUGAAGCCCCUAUCUGAUUUAAUGCAUGCUACAGCCAUAUCUGUGUUAAACUGUAUGUAAAGGCCAACGUUAAAUGACUGUCCUGGAAUGUUCAGUUCUUUUGGGGGAUAACAAUGGUACAUAUAUUCAUGUGGUUAAACCUCUGGUACUCCACCACUUCGGCUACUGAGUUCCACCACUUUGGGGGAGUUGUCGUCAGGACAUCGAUUCUACCACAGUCUUAAUCUGUACCCUAUUAGGCCCCCUAGCAAUCGAACACGAAAGCCAGCAGAUUGUAGCACAGCACCCUCCCUAAGCGCCUCUACACCAUUGGCGCUGGUCUCCUGGAUGGCUCUCACCAAAGCAACUUGCUAUCCCUCAAGCCGGGUGCCUUCAAAUUCUGACUAAUACUAGUAGCUAGUAGACUACUAGCUAGUUGCUGUGAUAUCAACAGCACAAUUUGUAGGAGACAGAUGCAUGAGGAUGUGAAUUAAAACACACAGCACGUUUGAUCGAACAUUUUGCUAUCCGAAGAAACCAGUGAUACUGUUGUCUUAUUUAGGAAGAAGAAGCGCAAACUACUAUUUCUGAUGUCACUGGAUCAUUAUCAGUUUCUACACUGCUUGUUCGUUGGAAUAUUGAUCAUUCUCUUUCCCAGUGCUCUCUUUCAUGCUUGACAUCCAUUCCUGCAACUGCAAGUACCAAUGUAUAGGCCGAGUCCAGUCUGAUGUUCCACAUAUCUAUCUAUUGGCAAACAAACCAUGGCUUGCACUCUUUGCUUCCCACUUCAAUAAAGCGCAUGCAUCUUGAAUGGUGACAAAAAAACAUCCAUUGCAGCAUAAAUGCCACGAUCGCAAGGAAUUUUUCUACAGCUAGUACUAUUAUACAAGAAAAACUAAAGAGCAGAUACUACAGCAGGAUUAAUAGAGUUCUCAACUAACACCACUUCUUUUGACUCUAAGCCACUAAUAGAAAACCGGUAGUAAGAAAGAAGAAGGGGGCCCCAUUAAAUACUAAACAAACUAAUAAAAGGUUACAAAUGGCAAGCCAAAGAACAACAAAACAAACAACUUUAGUACUUAAAUGAAGACACUCAUCGUGGUUGCAAGCGUUUUUGUUGGAACAUUGUAUUCUCUCUUUCAAAAUAUUAUUACAGAACAAAUAUAUUAUGAUUCCAUCAAAAAGGUUGAUUUUUGCAAAUUUAUAAUUUUUUGAGCGGCAUUGGCGCCAAUAGCAGUACAUGAUCCUCCAGUACCAACUGUACUGAUGACUGAAAGAUGAAAUAGAUUUAGUAUUAUGGUUCUGGAAUUGGUUCCAUUCCACAAAGUAUGCAGACCCCGCCAGUCGGUCAUCCUUGUUCAUUCAAAUUACUUGCCAUUGAGUAGAAAUAAUUAAUGACAAGUAAAAGUAGUGGCAUUAUAUUUUCAUUCUAUCCUAGCUUUUUAUAUUGUGUCGUCAAAGGUGGUCAGAUCCGAUCCGUUGUACAUUCUCCAUCUAUAGUCCAGCACCAACAACUGUUAUCUUCCAUUGUGUUAUCUUAAUGUAUUAUGGGUGGACGGCGCCUCGGGCAUGUCCAUCCCUGGACUCCCCACAUCGUCAAUCCUAGAUCCAGAUUGCUUCUAGGCCAGCAGCACUGGCUUCUCCCUGAUGAGCGAUGACUCGUGUGGUUGGACCGUGAUGGGCUCGAGUAGCAGCGACACUGCUUUCUCCAUGACGACUCCCACGGUUGUGCUGCAAUGGGAUCGUGCGGCACGACAGCGCUGCCUUCUCAUCGAUGAUUCCCAUUGUCUAGACACGAUGGCUUCAACUAGAGCCGGGGAUGCUGCCUUCCCUCAAACGAUGUGAGUAACUCAUGCCGUCAUGGGAUCCACAUUAAUUGGUGUUCUCCUUGUCAACCAUCAUGCCUUCUCCUCUCCUGCACCGAGCUACGACAACGAGCAACAUGGUGUGCUGGGCACCAGGCAGCAGUGCAAUGUCUUGGCUAAUAAGUUGGCCAGACGACGUGACAUCUAGCUAUGGUCCUCUCCCCUCGAGCAUAGAAUCAACAUCAAGCUAUGGUCCAGGUGCAGAUCAUCAACACCCUCCCUGUGAAUCCUGACAGUUCUGCAAUGGGAUCUUACCUUUUGCGCAUGGACAUGGCUAUCGUCGAUGUGUUUGCUGGUGCUACAUUGCCUGUACGAUGAUGUGCCCAUGUGCAGUUUGUAUCUGAAAUUCAAGCAUUGAUGGAUUUAGGAUGUAGUUCGUAGCUGACAUUCAUGCAAUGGUGCAUUUUCUAUUUUUGGUAGUAGCUAAAAAAUCAACAAUUACCACGAGCGAGCUGGUCGAGGAGGGUGGCAAUGAGCAGUCAAGUGAGGUGCACCUCCAUGGUAGCAAAGCCAUGGACAGGGGAGGUGCACCCCAAGCCAGGGGGUGCGACCCUAGCCACAUCUCGAUGGCCUUGGUGGCGCCCACCAGAUUCGCGUAGGCCUCGACAAAUAAAGUCGGUGGGGAAGGCACAUCCUCCCUCAAACCCUCACACCACCGCAUGCAGUGUUCUGAGCCUGCUGUGGGGUGCCACUGCUGCCGCCCUGCGCAAACCUAGCCAUGCAUAGCUAGGCGCCAUAGCUUUCAAACUCUGCUCGCGUUUCGAGCCACACAGUGUGGAGUGCAUUAGAAGCCUCGCGUGAUGAGAUGGAGGGCAAGCGAGGUGCAGCUGUGUUUGAAGACUGACAUCAAAUUACAUCAAUCAUUGGCCAUCAUAUUUUGUUUGGAUGUUUUAUUAGCCCUUGAUUUUAAUGGGGAUGAAUUCCUAUGUACAUUUUCCUAGGUGCACAAUGAUUGGUGACUCUCAGCAUGGGAUGUUUUUCUGAGGGGAUACAGUAUAAUUUUGAUUGGUCCAUUAUAGUAGAGAUCAUCAUCAUUCAAGUCUUUAACAAAUGAAAGGUUGUGAUGACUAAGGACCUGUUGCACUACUUCAGUGGAAGCGUGGCUUAGCCUAUGGAGCCACAAGGAUGUGGUCGGCCUAACAAUCAGCGGCGGAGCGUGGGGAUUAAAUAAGCAGGGGCUAGAUUGUUUUGUACAAAUUAAUGUAUAGGAAAACAUUUGCUACUUUAAUUUGUUUUGUUAUUAUUUUGUCUUACUUAGAAUCAGUGGUUGAGUAUAGCAAAGAAAAGAUUAGCAUUCUAACAAGUAUCAACCUUUAUUUCCACUUUAAUUAGCAUAUCUAUAUUGUAGAAUAACUACUGCAUGGUAAAGUGUUGGCAAAUAAGGGGGGCAAUGGCCCAGUUUCGCCUCUGAGGCGCUCCGCCAGUGCUAACAAUGCUGAGACCUUGCUUAUUCGAGGAUGACUUAUUUCUGGAUGAUCACAGCGGGUAGAGGCCUCCUUCACAUCGGCCGUUGAGUAGGGUUCUCCUUGUCUCCACUUCCUUUAUAGCGGAGUGGUUUGGAAGAAAUUCAAGAAAAAACACCAUUAUGAUUUGUAAGAUGAUGAACAGAAUGGAGGUUUUUGUAGGGUUUAGAAACAUGAAGAAUAUUUCUCAGUUGAAUGUUCGUAGUAGCGGAGCACAAUAAGCUAUGACCAACAUUAGUGAUCUCCAUUCCUGAUCCAUUGGCAGCGUGAACUAUUUUGGCAUUGUGGUACUUGUCAUGCACCAUGAGCCUUUCUAGAUCAUUGGUAAUUUGGUCCGUCGCACUGGUAUCCAUAUACGAGUUUGUAUGUAUGCCGUAUGACGUUGUUGCAGAGGAGACCGACUUAUGUGGCAACCCGAUGAAAGAGGCAUCAAACCUCUUGUAUUAGUGGAGAAUGGUUUGCCCUUCCUUCUGGCAUAGAUGACAGAUGAUGCCAGGUUGUGCUUCUCCUUGUGGAUGACCGCCACCAUGGCCACCAUGCUGUCCAUGUCAUGAGCUGCCAUGGCCGCAACGAGAGUUGUUCUUGCUAUGCCUGCCACCGUGACCACCUUUCGUGGCCAGUUUGGCUGAUGACUAGAAGCCACCUCUGCCGCCAUGGAGUUUCAGGCGCUGCUCGAAGCUGAUGGGCUGGGUGAAGAGUUCGCCACCAUAAUGGGUUUGACUAGUGGUAACAGCAGAAACAAUAGGGUUGAACUCGAGGUCCAGCUAGGUUAGGAUAUAGGAAACUAAUUCCUCAUCUUCCAGCUUGCGAUGACCAGACGCCAUCUCAUCUGCUAGUCGUGUCAUUUUAGCGACAAACUGACUAAUAGACAAGGCGCUCUUGGACGCCUUUUCAACUGCCAUUCUAGUGCUGUCGAAUUCGCGGGAUUGAGAGGCAAACAUACCCUUGAUGGCCAUCUGGCAGCUCUGUCCUCUGAAGAGACCUGGCUGUGGAUCUCCUUCGACAGACUGGUCAACAUGUAGUUGAGUACCAAACCAUCCUUGGCCUCCCACGUCUCGUAGUCACGAUUAGGAACAUGCAGUUCCUUGCGGUCGCUGUCUCCCUUUGGUGGCAUAAACCGCUACUAGAAAAAACAUCUUUUGAAAAAACAUCUUAAGUCAACCAUCCCUAAUAAUAAUUUCAAUUUAAAAAAAACAUUUAGAGAUUAGUAAAAACAAGGGAAAAAAUUUAUAUAGACCAAAGGGAUGAGAACCAGCCACACCUCACACAAUUUAUUUUUCAUUUGUUUUGAAUAAGUGUCAACACCCGGAUUCGAUCCCACUACCUCUCCCUUGCACGAUCCCUCCUUGCUACCACACCAUGCAAUCACUUGUGUCUAGUUCUAUGAUACUGUCUAUUUGUACUAAUAUAUACUAAUAUUAUAAUCAAUAUUUUUGCUCAUAAAUAAUCUUAAAUGAGAACUUUUAACUAUAAAGUUUAAAAUGUCAUCGAGCACUGCAACUUUGAUAUAUAACAUUUCUCCAUCCAAGGUCAUUUGAAAAAUUAAAAAUUUUGAAAUUGAAAACAUGAGACUUAAUUUAUUUAUCUAGAACCCUAAAUUAUCUCAACCAAAAAUUUUAUCAACUACAAUGUUUUAGAUCUCAUCGAGCUCUACAACUUUGAUAUAAAUUUUGUCUUCAUCCAACUUUAUUUAAAACAGUUAUGAAUUUAUUUGUGCUGCAACCAUUUUUAAGGAUGGUUGACUUAGUCAAUCGCCUCUAAAAAUUGAUUUUUAGAGACGGUUCCAUUAAGACAACCGUCUCUAGAAAUAUUUAGUGUCGCACCAUGGGAGAGUUCCACGGAGGUAGGCUCUGAAUACCAUGUGAGUAUAGUGGAACGAGAUACCCUCCCUUGGGCCUCGGUGUGGCAUUUACAACAAGAAGAACCCAACUGAACUCAGGAUGAGAUCUAUCGUCUACAACUUGGAUUACAAUACACUUGUGUUACAAGAUAUGGUUGCUAAUCUAUCCAAACUAACCUGGACGCUACGUGGCACUGUGAUAUUAGUGCCUUCACAUCAAAUCAAAAACAUAGUUUACCUGUGAAAUAACAAACCCGCAAUGGAAUAGUUCCUAUUAUGCUUAGUUUCAUGCAUUAUUUACUUCAUGAUUGGUCAUCCUUGAUUUGAUGUGAAGGCACUAAUGCACUAAUGCUUCACUAUCGAAGUCAUCUAUUCCAUUACUCGCCUUAUACUUUGGUGAGUUGCUGCUUUUCCCCUAAAUCAACCUCUAUCUGCCUUCUUCAUCCUCCAAAUCGACUCCCGGCGGGCAUCUUCAGUUAAUCAAGUUCCUGCUUCAGUUCUGCGGGGAUUUUUCCUAGUAAGCCCUUUGUGGCUACUGCCGUAUCCAAUUCCCCCCAAUCCGUUCAUCUUCUCCUCAAUCCUCUCCGAUCCAUCUUCCUAUCUUGCUUCGUUCGUGGUUCUCAUCUGACCAUCCUUCAUGCUUUAUCCUCUGGAUGAAGCACCUGGUUCCCGUUUCUUCUCUUCGGUUGUUCGUUUCCUUCUGCCGAUUCCUACCAUAGCUAGCGACAACUCUGAAGUUCUGAUCCCCUCUACCAUGGAGGAUGUGCCCCCUAAUCCACCACCACCUAUCAUUUCACCAGAUCCACCUCAUCCCACUCUGUAGAUCUCCAGUCAUGCACGCCCCUACUGCUCUAACUAGCCCGCCUGACCGAGCUAGCGCUUGGCCCAACCGCUCCGAUUUGGAUCGAACCAACGACUCCACCACCAUGCCAUGUUGUUAUCAACUACCCCAUGUCCAGCCGGCUCUGCCUGCUGCUGAUGACAAUCUUCCUCGACAUUUUCAUAAAGCUACAGGACAAUCUACGGGGCUAGGCGUUUUGACGCACCUAGCUUGGAACUUUAGAGGCUCAGGUGGGAACCUCCGCAGUUCAACCAUGAACCAUCUCACCCGUCUCCUGAUUUCUACCCGAGCACAGUUAUGUUUUCUAUUAGAAACUAGUAAUUGUUCUAUCACUUAAACUGCCAUUAAAAAUUGAUUUAAUUACUAUGAGGCCUUUGUUGUCCCCGCUCAAGGCCAAUCAGGUGGCCUCUGGCUUUUAUGGAAUGAUGAUGUUGAUCUGAAAAAAGGGAUUUCUUAGGAUUUAUCCAGUACUCCUAACGUUUUGGGUUAAGCAGGCGUGUAUGAUAUCAAAGGAGUGUAUGAUAUCAAAGUGUACAUAAAUGUGAAGGCGAUAUGCCUUAGAAAUCCGUAGCACGUAGAACCACAUUUAUGUACAGGUAAAAAGCUCAAACUGUAAUCUGAUUGGUCAUCUGCUUCACUUGUGAACAUUGAACAUCACCAACUUAAUUAAGGGGAUGUUUAGUCCUGGCUCCAUGCAAUAUGUUAGUUUGGAUUUGAUGGAGAAGCAAUAUAUGCAUGCAGUAAAAACUUUCUUUUUUACUCUUUAUUUACUCGCUGCUAACUGGAGAGUAUCAGAUUGCAGUUUGCUCGUAGUUCAGGAAGUAAUUGGUUCGUAGCAGCAAAAAAAAGAACAAAAGAUUCGAGGUUGCCAUGGACUGAGCUGUGAUGGUCAAUUUUUUUUUCUAAUUUAUGAGUGCUAUGUAAAAAUAAUCUCAUUUUUCCCUAUGGAAAUGAGGUAAAAAUUUAAGCAAGAAUGUGAAAACCCAGUAGCCUGCCACCAGUCUGUCUCAAGAACAGUCAUGGAUAGUCACCUGGAGCAAGGGAUCCAUACCAUACUUUGGACAACUGGACAGGUUCAGGGCCCUGGACAGGCUACACUAUUAGCUCCAAGCAAGUGGUUUUGAUAUUACUUUCUGGGAUAGAACUACAGCAAAACAAAAUAACUAACAUGGUCCACAGGUGGUCUUCAUAUACUUGGCAAAAUGUGGCUUGCUAUCCAAUGGACAAAGGCUAAGCGCUAAAGAAAUUAAACUAUUAAUGUGAAGUGCCAGAAAGUUGGAAAGCUACAAUAUUAAGGAUGUGAUUGAUUUCUAAUGUGUUCCUUUAUGUCCUAGAAACAGCCUAUCUACAAAUAUAUGAAACAAAUCUUCAACUUUAGAAAUAACAAGGCAUAAUUUUUUAAAAUUAAUCAGACAACAUAGAAAUAAACACCACCCAGCUUGCUGAUCUACAUGAAAAUUAAUCAGACAACACAUGCAAAAGUAGAAAGCACAACUAAAGUUAAGCAACAUAUUAUAAACAUAUAGUUACUUUAAGAAAAAGGAUUUUUACUCUGGGGCAUGAUAUCCGAAGGUUCCCAAGACACUAGUGAAUGCAACCGGGCAGCCAUAUCUGGUGCUUGAUUUGAGAGAUUAAAGUCUGCUAUCUUUGCCUUAAAGUCUUCAAACAAGAGGAUAUUACUUGAUCUAAUAUCCCUAUGGACAAUGGAAGGCUUAACUUUCUCAUAAAGAUAUUCAAGUCCUUUUGCAGCACCAACAGCAAUUUGCACUCGCUGAAUCCAAUCAAGUGCUGGGCCCGGUUGAGCACCUUGAACUCCUUUUCUUCCUUUUGACAUGAAUUCAAAAACGAAAUUGCAAAUUAUCAGUUGAAGCUACAGUAUUCAAGUAAGUGCAGAGUUGUGCAACAAGUAGCAGAGGAUAUGCAAAAACAUACCAUGUAGAACAUCAUGCAGAGAACCCAUGGUGGCAAAUUCAUAGGCUACUAUGCGAAGAUUACGCUCCAUACAGUACCCCAACAUAUCUACAAAGUUUUCAUGUUUCAACCUUGAAACCAAUGAAACUUAGCAUCAGAGGUAAGCAUCAUUAUUUGACUAGGAACGCAUACCACAUUAGCACUACGAAAUAACCAAAGAGAAAUCCCGAUGAUUAAUAAUUAAUGACAACACCAACCUGGGUCAAGAAUUCGGUAGUGGGUUCAUUUUCAGUAGAAUAAAGUUUUUUUACUGCCAUUUUUGUUCCAUUAUCAAGAACCGCAUAGUACACUCUCCCAUAAGAACCUUCACCUAUCAAAGCUGUUGAACCGAAGUCAUCAGUUUUUUCUAUCAGUUCAUCCAAGGACAGAACAGGGAUAUCGAUAGGGGGAGUAGCAUUGUGCGACUCGACUUUUUGAGUAGCAGAAUCUUUAAACCCCUUUGUCGCCCCUGAAGAAAAGGAUACAAUGACAUCAAAUUCUCUGUAGAUGUUAGGAAAGGGAAUUUCAAAAAAUACAGCAGCAUGAAGAUGGUUCACAUUUUCAGUAACUGGCAGUAAGUUAAGAAUGUAGGAAUAGAUGAUCCAAGUACAUUAAAACGAACAUACCAUCAGUGUUGUUAGUUGUGGCCUUGACAAGAUCAUUUUCACGCUGAUCGGAUUCAUCCACUUGGCAAUUGCAGCAACAACGGCGCCACAUUGCUACCUUUUAAUCUAAUUUGCAAAACACAAAUAUGUCAUCAGGGGAACUACCACAUUUAUCACUGUAAACAUUUGAACCUCAUGCAUCACGUAUUUUAAUGCAGACAAUACUGAAGAGAAACUUGUCAUGCCACUAGAGUGCAUACUAGCUAGUCUCUAGCAACAUCAAAACGUGAGAUGGUCAAGUUCAAGACAAAUUCUAGAUUCACGAUAAAAAGGCCAACCAUAGCAAUACACAACACAAACAGGAUGCCCAUAACCAUUCUAGACACACACACACACACAAAAAAAAAGGCCACAAAAUUCACCUCAGAAAAGGCACCUGAGAAAAUCACCUCAGGUAAACCUCUACUGCUCUAGAGACUAGAGCCAGCAGCCGCGCACCCACAUCACUAACAGAGACAUCAUUUGGCCGCACAUCUCAGACGCAGCUCGUCACAGACAGCCCGCAGUCCCGCACGAUCGCUCACCUCGACCGCAACCAAAUUCCCAAGCGCACGCAGCAACACCGAGAUCCAAGCCACGGCACCAACAAGACUAAACGGAAACAGGGUCCUGGGUCCCCAAAAAAUGCUCGCCCAAUUCUACACACGGAAGCGCCGCCCGCAAUCCCCACUAAAACUGUGAUGGGCUUGCUAGUCUUACUUCUCUUGAGCAUCUCGAGGUUGGGGAGUGCCCAAAGCUCCCCAUAGAUGAUCUGCUUCCACCACAACUGAAGAUUCCUAUCGUUGAAGAUAAUGAACAUGGUAUGUAAUCUGCCCUUGUCAGCUUUGUCUACUUUCUUAAUGUAAUGGGCUUGCAUAGUCAUGGUAUGUAAUCUAUUAUGCUCGGUUAGUGUCUCACGCACGCCGGAGCUUAUGCAUGACAUGCAUGUUCUGUGCUUGACGCAUGACUGGUUUGUGCGAGAGCACAACCGCAGCAUGGUCUGGACUUUUUCGUGCCAUGGCACAAGAAGCAUGGAUCAUUGCAUGAGGUUCAGACCUGGUGGCCACAACUUUGUAAUCAAGUUUUUCUGUUUAUAAGAAAAUCAAUAGGGUCAACACAUGCUGCCACUCUGCUGUUAUCAUUUCGUCUCCAGACCCAGCAGCUCGCCAGAGUUCAUGUACUCCGGCUGUUUUCUGGCAUGAACCACAUGUACACAGAUAUUUUUAAACGGAGUCAGACAGUAAUAUUUUCUGAUUGUAGCAGACCAAUAAAAAGGAGAAUCGUUGUAUGGUUGUUGUUUUGUACAGCUUUACUUCUGUUUUCUCCCCCUGCUCCCAAAAAAAUAGUGCUUCUAUUCUAGUGACAGCACUCAUUUCAGGUUGCCUUAAAUGAUUUUUUUUUCUGCUUUUGAAUGGAACCAGAUAGUACUACAGUGUGAACCAGAUAGGUGCUUGAACUCUAUAUGUGCAAUCAAGGUGGGAAUCCCUAUUGUGAAAGCGCUAGUGAUGAUGGGUUGCUCAUCUGAACAAUCAGUGAAAGGGAAGCUCGUCAGAAUUGAAUUUCUAAUGGUAUGUAACUAAAGCUUAUCAUAAUUAAAAUUUUGAGAAAUCUUAUCACAAUUAAUUUGCUCCCUAUGAAAUACAGGUUUGCGGCUAUACCUUCUUACUGAAUUCUGAAAAGUUCUAUUUCAGUGAUAUUUUCUCGUUCUCAAUCUUCCACACUAUAGUCUGAACGUUGUGUCCCGAUGAUGCAGGGCCUGCAAUCACAGACUACAUACUGUCCAAAACCCUAUAUGACUAUAUGUACCCACUUUGUCAGCUGCAAAUUCUUAUUGUAUUAGCGAUACAGGUUAUAGCUAAUUGAAUCAUGACUGCACUAACUGUGUAUAUAAUAUUUCAUUGCCAGGUCCACCUAAUUACUUGUGGUUAUUCUUGCUGAUCAAUUUACCUUCCAUUUUUGAACAGGCACAAUUUCUACUUUCCCAAUUGGAAACUACAAAAUUAUUUCAUCACAUUUGUUAGCAGAUCCUUUUAACUCAAACUUUGUCGCAAGCAAGUAAUUCCUGGCGAUACAUUAUGGGUGUGUUUGGUUUGAGGAAUGAGGUGAUCCAUCUUCUUCUCACUCCUCAUUUUUGUAUUUGGUUUGUGGAAUGGAAUGAGUUGAUCUAUCACCACCUCAUUCCUCACAAGCUAAUAAUUAGUAUAUGCAUGAGGAAUGAGUUGAUUUUAUCAAAAUUGAUGGAAUGAUCUUAUGAUGCAUCACCUCAUGAAGCAUGGGAUGACUCCACAAACCAAACACAUCAUAUGUAACCAUAUUGAUACAUGCUUAGCUCACUUCAUGAACUUGUGCUUUUUUAGAUUCAAGGUGAACUUGUAUAGUUCCAGACAGGACCUUAACACUUUAACGAAGUAGUUGCUCUGUGCCUUUCCCUGCCAAAUGACCCGCAGCAAAACCCUGCCUCAUGAUCCGCAGCCCAAAAAAAAACUUUGUACUCAAUUUAGUUUUAAAAUCUCAAGAUUCUCUAUCGCAUCGAAUUUUUAGACGCAUGUAUGGAGCAUUAAAUAAAGAUGAAAAAAUAACUAAUUGCACAGUUUGUCUAUUAUUUACAAGGUGAAUCUUUUGAGCUUAGUUAGUCUAUGAUUGGACAAUAAUUGCUAAAUACAAACAAAAAAUUCACGAACUAAACAAGGCCAAAGAUACUAUUUUUCUUUGUCUAACAAAACAUGGUGUUACAAAUAUUCUUGAGGACAACGCUAGGAAAGAACAUGCCCAAAACGCCGGCGAUGACUUUGUGUUGUGAAUAAAUAAUAAUCAAGAAAACACAAACGCAGCAAAGGCUGCAGUCAUCGCAAUGACCCACACGGCGACAAUCCCCGCCGGCGCUUCGCCGGAGAGCGGCUCGUAGUAUGACGGCGGCACUGACGGGAGACCGCGGCCACGCGCCACGCUGACCUGAAACCGCAUCCCCUUGUGGCAGUGCUCCCCGUUCUAGGCGUUCGAGAAGAAGUAGUUGGCGCCCUCCGCCGUGAGCAUCACAGCGAGGAGCGCCCCCUCCGGCUUCCACCCGCUGGCGCCGCUCGCCGCGACGCCGGCGCUUGUAGACCGUGGCGUUCGUCGUGUGCACCACCGUGUUGCCGGUGUCCGUCUUGAAGCCUUGCGACAUAUUGAGCACGUCACACACAUCACACAUGUCUGUAACUAAUCACUAGUGUCGAUGGAUCGAGCUCAAAAAUCAUUCUAGACAAUAUUUGAGUCAAACAUUAAAAAUAUAAAUCAUAAAUAAUUUAAGUUGUUGAGUUUGAAAAUAUGAAAACCAUAUGAAUAAACUUAUCUUAAAAAAAUGUUUUUAUAAAAAUAUACAUAUAAUAUUUUUUGAUAAAUAUUUUUAUAAAAAUUAAAGUUAGAGAAUAUGUUAAACAACUUUUUUACACCUAUGGAGGGAGUUGGACUUGGACGGGGGAAGGAGAGAGUGAAAACUCACUGAGGUAGUCGCCGAGGUAGAAGGUGCGGUUCACAGCGCAGGCGGAGUAGUUGGCGACAGAGGCGUUCGCCUUCCAGUCAAAGAACCACCCGGUGCCGUCGCCCACGGCGUGGUUCGUGCCAAACAGCGGCAAUGGCGCCGUCGUGUUCUUGGUCGGGCUCGCCGUUGAAUUGGCCGCGGAGCUUGGGCUCGCUGUCGUGUUGCCUGCGGCUGCAGUGGUCGUUACGGCAAAAACGGCGACUGCUACUCGGAAAAUCACUGUAGGAAUGCCCAUGGUCACAAGCUGGUGAAUUGGUGAUGUUGUGCUGCUAAUGCUAGAUUUCUGUCAGAAAGCUUCUGAUGCUAAAUAGGCGACUAUUCUUGAGUGAGGGUGAGGACUAAAUUAAUGGCGAUGUCAACGGUUUAUGCGGCAUCCAGGUGGGGGCGGCGCCGGCCUGGAAACCCGCAGCCACCUGGCUAGGCACCAUGCUUUGGCCGGUGACAGAUCUAUGGACUGGGAAAAAUAGUUACAGUAACUGACAAUGGUAACCUUGUGACCAAAUUGCCUAAGGAAAUGGUGCUCACUUCAUCAGACCUUUAUAUAUGAUAAUAAGUUUAAAAAAUAAUUACUGUUCAGCGGACCUUGAUAGUUGAAUAGUUGAUAAUAAGUAUUACUAUUGUUGUCUCGAGUGAAGCUAACAAUCUUCAGUGCAGAAAUUUUCUUACAUGAUGCUGAUUUGGAGCAACGGCAAGCAUUUUGUUUUGAUAGUUGUUACUGUAUAUUUACCUCACAAAUGUCAUAUUCACAUACAACAAUGGGGGCAUUGUUCUCGUACAAUCAUCAUGUUUUCCGAGCUCGUUUCUGGAGCUGGAGGUACUGGUGUAGUCAUGUUCCUGUAGUCUGUAGAUCAUCUUAACAUUUGAGUGUCUGAUUUCUGAGUACUACAACUCAAGUUUCUGACUUCUAAGUACCACAACACUAGAACCCUUGCUGUGAAUUGAACCCUUGCAAAGAUACCAUGCCUGCGACCUGCUGCGGUGAUUGAAGUUUGGACUCAGUUACCAUCAUGAUCUAGCGACGUGGUUCAGUUUUCUGGUUCAGAGACUAGGAUUUGCCCUCUGCACAUCAGCUAAUUGCUUUCAAAUCUUGAAUAUAGAGCUUCUAUAUGAGACUACCUUCACAUCUUGAAUAUAGAGCUUCUAUAUGAAACUAGUACGAACCUAUUUUUAAAGUCCAGUUAAUUGAUGUCCCCAGAUCCAUCUUCACUCUUCGAGUCACUUAGCAUAGGCAUGAAUGCUGCAAGAAGAACAGCAACCUUGUUUGCUAGGAACCCUGCGGUGCCAACAAAGAGCUCCGUCGGUGUGAGUUCAAAGCUAUCACCUCCAGCACCAUACUUCAGUGCAACUGCGCCUGCAACCAGUACUAGUGAUAGUAUCAACCAUGGCCUCCUUACACCACUGAAACCUGUUACCGAGGGCUGUGCACUGCCAGCUUCUGAAGGUGAAGUGAUCACAGGCAAACCAUCAACUGAUCUUUGGAGCAGCAACAGAUAGAGGAACCCACCAAUGCCACCUAUCAGGAACGAAUAGGCGGCGCUAUCAUUGGAAGCCAAGGUGAAGGCGGAGAAGCCAGUGAUCACUAUAGAUGCAUCAUAGAGCAGCAGAGAUUGUUUGAGGUCAGCAUACUCUCUCAACCCAUCCUCUCUUAGUUCCUUAACGCUUGAAGCUUUGCUUUCUGAGGAUAACAACCCUUCUUGAAGAUCGGAAAGGCCGACUCCUGAGAGGUCAGUGACAGCCACAGGCCUUGCUUCAGCUACUGAAGCUCCAUCAUCUCCAAGAAGCUCAUUUAUUUUCUCAAAAGUGUACUGCAAACCAUUGAACUUAUGUUCAGGAGUUCCAUUAAUUUCUUUAGGUGGAUCAACCGGUCCAUGUAUUACUUUCAAGCUCAAACCAUCUAAUCUCCAUGAACCUGACCUUCAAGGAUAAGAUUGAUAAACAAAGGAUAGAAAACACUCAUCAGGUGAACAUACUGCCAUUACAUUAUAUUUGCAAAGAACAUGAAAUGGGAUGUACCUGAUUCUAGACCGAUCCAGACUUCUUUAAUCCUUUUCAGUUUUGAGGCCUUGAAAGUGACAACAUCAACUGAACCACUUUGGAAGGGUAUCAGUUGCGCUGUCUUAAUUCCAAGUGUAGGUUGACCCAAAUAGAUUGCCGGUACUCUUUGUAGCAAGGAGUCACCAUCAACAUCAAUCAAGCAGAUUAAGAUUGCAGAAUUUUUCUCCAAAGAUGAACUAAAUUCUCUACUUGUGCUAAGCUCCAGCAUAUAGAACGAAUCAGCGUCAUCUAGUAUGAUUGUGUUAAAUAUCUCCUCAGGAACAGUAUUGGGAUAUGUCUUUAGUUCCUCUGCUGGAAGAAGGCGUGAAGGCUUUACAGAGGGCACCAGAUCUGCAGAGUUGAAGGAACAAUGGUCAGUUGGUCACUGAAUGGUGUGGAUACAAUGGUAAAUUUUCACAACCAACAAACAGAGCUUUCAUGGUGUCAAUAGUAAAAUAAAAUGAGAAAUUAAAUAGGAGAAAACAAACUACAACUACAUUGCAGCCGGUAAGUGAAACAUUAAUAUGAUUCCUUGUGGAAGCAGAAACAGUUGCAUACAACUACGCAAUAUGAAUGCAUACUAUAUUGAUGGGUAUAUUACAAAGAACAAUCACAUAGAAAUACAUUGUUUACCAGGGCAAAGAAAUAAGCUUGGAGCGACAACAUCAAAAGUCUGAUCAGACAGUACCUUGAAAGGAAGACCCCUUGGAGAAGCAAGGCAUCCUCUGAUGUUUGUUUUGUCCUUUUGGUUUCAUUCUGUCUGGAAAGACAUGGCAAUACAUUCUCGAGCUAUUGUUCAGCAGCAACCAUCUGGGCAGAAAAUUACGGUGAACUGAUGGACGGUGAACUGAUGGAGCAACACACCCUGGAGAGAGGAUCACCAUUCUCUGUAGAAAUGAUAGCAAAGCAGACGUAUUAGCUGUAGCAAACAGGGGUGCAGAUAGCUCUGAUACACUCGUUACCAACAUAUUAAUUUAAAUAUCAAUGCAUACACAGGAUUUAAAGCCCAUCCACAUUUCGUGACUGAACCUUCGGGAGCUGAAGUACAAAGUACAAACUAAUUAAGGACCACAAAAAAAAUCAAAGGCACCAUUAAAACUGUGAGAUCAGCGGGCAGGGGGGCAGAGGAUACAUGUGAAGGUAGCAAAUGGCCACCCGUGCACUAGUAUUUAAUCAUGGGAUAGCAAGGAGCAGAAUUAUGCCUAACAAACAAAUCAAAGAUAAUAACAUAACUGAACUGCGAUAACAGCAUGUCAGCAUGGACAGGAUUUGUCACUAUUAGAAUAGCACACCUAAAGUGAAGGCAAAAUAACCUACCAUAGAUCAUGUCCUAUUCCUGCUGUCCCAUAUGGCAGUGGUACACAAACGAAUAAGCUAGGUUGCAAGAAACAAAUUUUUUACGCCAAGCUUGAUGCUGAUAAUACUAGUUACCAAUGUAUUAAAUAUCAAUUUUUUUCUCGAACAUGCAAGAGAGCUGGGUAUCAUUGUAUUAAGAAGAAAAAAUGGAUAAGAACACAUACAAGGCACAACCACUAACACCACUAUGUCCAAAUUAAACAAACUAGCCCUUGACACACAAAGUAGGUGACCUCAACCCAAAAUUAACUCCAUAUUCAGCCCCUAGGAAAUGAGAUUAUUGAUACCUGUGCCCCUGCCAAGCUCCAAUAAAGAAGCCCCUCACUAGCGAGCAACAGAGCUGUAGCUAGGUUUGGAGAUUCAGCAUCAAACACACAACAAUUACGAAUAUUCCACGCUCCUAGAAUAAUGAUGGAGUUGAGUCCCUUUCUUAAGUGAACAACCACUGCAUUUUAACUUCCGUCCCACCAAUCAUCAAACAAAGUCUCAUCAGACUAGGGGGUAAGCAUUUCUAAGCCACACUUUACACAGGAGGAAUAACCAGAAUUCACAAGCAAAGACGUAUUAAAUAGCAAUGGCUCAAUGCAUACAGCAUUCAAAGCUGACAUUUGGUGACCGAACCUAUAGGGGAGCUGAAGUACUAAACUAAGCACCACAAAGAAAUCAAAGGCGUCAUUUGUUUUUGUUCCAUAUUAGAGCAAAACUAUGAGACGAGCGAGGGCAGAGCAUACAUGUGAAGGUAGCAAAUGGCCACCCGUGCAAUAGUAUUCGAUCAUGGGAUGGCAAGGAGCUGAAGUAUGCCUGGCCAAGAAAUCAAAGAUACUAACAUAACUGAACUACAAACUGUGAUACCAGCGUGGACACGGUCACCAACCAACUCUGUAACCCACUAUUCGAUUAGUAAAACCAAAAUCACCUAGUACCAUAUGUCGAACAAGCAAAGGUCGUAACAAAGAAUUAGACUUAAAAAUUCGUGGCCAUAAUAGAGCCUGCCUUACCGGAGGUAGGAGGAAUUGGCUGAGGCGCGGAUGUGGGAGAGAUCUCUACCCGGCGGCGCUCCAGUCCACAGGAGGAGACGAGGAGGGCGAGGCCGUCGGAUUCCGUGGAGCUGGUGGCGUGUGCUCCGCUUCUUCGUGGAGGGAGGCAAGAGGCGUGCCGCGUUGGAGUUCGGCGGUGGCGAGGAACACGUGGGAGAGGGGACGGAGUCGCGGUUUCGCGGACAGCUACCAUUGCGAGGGUGUUUUCGGGAUUUCGUGGCUUGAUAUUUCGUGCGGACAGCUACCCUGGCGCCCUGACGCAACCGGGCACAUACUGCCACAGCGGGCCCUCGGCGCGGCCCGGCACGGCCGCCGGCGCUGGCCCCUGCACGGCUAAGGUCUACAUGCUGGACGUUGCUUAUCUAUACCGUUGAAUAUGUGUAAAACAAUAGGGAGAAGUGUGAACACAGUUAGAAGAAGUGCAGCAGCACGAAUCUCAGAGCACAUUUGGAUGGUCCAGAUAAGCAAUGUUGAGCAUGUACAUGCUGCAUUAUAUUACUGAACGCAGGGCACGGGCAAGCCCCGAUGCGGCGCGCGGCCCUAGAGCGGCCACAGCCGUCGGCGCAGGCACGGCCAUUGGCAAGGGGCGCGGCCUGCCCCCAUGGCUACCUCCUCCUCUCUUUAUUCCUGCACAACGCCCAGUCCUCAAAUUAUGCCCCUAAAAUUCUAUUCGCAUGCUGGACUAAAAAAAUAAGAACCCAAAAUUGCAUUCAACUCCAGCCCAACACCCUCGGCAAAUUGAGAUGCGUCGGUGGGGUGGAGACCGGCACGUGCACGAGCUGCGGCUUUGCUCCCCUUGGCAGCAGAAGGCAGCCGGCGAGGGCGUCGGACGGCGGCCCUCCUGCUCUACACGCUGGCGCGCGGCGGCCCUAUAGCGGCGGCGGCCCUCGAGCGCGGCCCAGCGUUGCGGCUGCAUGGGCGGCGUGGCGGCACGGGGCCGGGCGGCAACGGCGGCAGCGCGGUUCUGUCGUGCGCUACCGUGUGCGGGGUGGGGUGGGGAGGGGGGAAAGUGGGGUGUUAUUGUUAUUGUUGUUGUUGUUGUUGUUGCUGCUGCUGCUACUGUUGCUGCUGUAUUUAAAUUCCACAUAUUUAUUUUAUUACAAUUCUUAAUAUUUAAUUAUAAAGUAAUCUUGAAGAUUACACCUAUAUUAAGACGUAAUACUAAAAAUUACGCAUCGACAUCUACUAAUCCUGGAGUUUAAUUGUGCGGGCAUGUUGGACAUCGCAAAGAGAGAUUUUGAGAUGCUCGCCGUGAAUGGCAGCAACUACCUCACUUGGACGACCGACAUCAAGAUCAGACUCGAUGGCAUGCACCUUGUUCAUACCAUUGUCUAGCCUGAAGCUGGCAAGGAUGAGCACACAAAGCAAGACAAGACGAGGGCGUUGCACUACCCGCGACACUACUAACGGUUGAUAAGUGUUACUUUUAACCACCAACUAAACAUGCAUAAAUGCUCAUAAUGAAAUAUAUGUAUAGGAUAGGGGUUCAAUCGAUAGAGUUCCACGAGUUUUGGUAUAUGUGUGUUUUUCAAGGAUUAAACAGGAAAAUAGGAGAAGAUAUAGUGGACGUCGGUGUAAAAGUCAUAUUCCAACGUAAUCCUGAGAGAAGAACGUUAUAGAGAAUACCAAAGGUGAGACUCUGCAAAGAGGUGCCCACCAGGCAUAGGGCCAGGUCGGCGGACCUAGGGGCUAGGGCGGCCGACCCAGCCUGGCCCCACCUAGCGUGGCCUUCUCUCACAUUCCUCCACCAACCUCAAGGAUUGAUCUCCACCAUUGUUUAAGUCGGUUUGAUCCAAUGGCCCAUGUUCAUUCCACAGGGCUAUAAAUACCAAGCCCUCUAGAUGAAAGCAUUCUCCUCUAAGUUGAAACCCUGAUUCUGCUUCUACGUCAAGAGUUCCUAUAUAGAGAAUCAAGAGAAGCAUUGAGAGAAGAUUAGUCUUGUAGUGCACAAGUGAUUAGGGCUAGUCUUAUUUAGAAAUAGAGAGAUAGAGUGUUGGGAAGAGUUCGGGAAAGCUUCGGCUUGUUGGUGGCUCCUCUUCGGCUUGUACCUACGGGAUCAAGUUCCAUUAACUCUGGAGCCUCCUUGUGAGAGUCUUUUAGUAUUCAACUUCUAAUUCAAGUAAGUUCGUUGUUAUUAUUAUUCAUUUGGUUUACGACUAGUAUGAAUUCUAGGAAUGGAAGCUUUUAAAGACAGAGGGAGUAUGAUAUUCUAGGAAUUGAAGCUUUCAAAGAUAGAGGGAGUAUGAUCUACUCACUAUUUUUCUAGGUUGUUUUUAUAUUUAUUUUGGCUAAAUCUUUGAAAAAAGUAAAUUAUAGAAAACAUAAAAUAGAAAGUCUAAUUUUAUUGGAUUCCACAUGAGUAAAUCUAUAUAGUAAACUUUUGAUAUGAUAUGAUAUACUUUAGUAUAAAAGUUUUGCUCUAGCUUUAGAUCUAUGCUUUUCUAUGAUUAUUUCGUAGCUGCAGUUUUUGUAGUCUGAUGAAAUUUUUAUGGUGUACUAGUCAUUGUAUGCUUGAGAUGUUGUAAAAAUUUCACGCUCAUUGAAUCCUGCAUGUCCGAUAGAUUUAUUCAAGUUUAUGCUUAUUAAAUAGUUUUUAAAAUGGUUAAAAGUGUGUAAAAUUAGAAAACAUGUGUUCUCUAUGUAACAUUACUAUUUUUAUAUCUUAUUAACACUUAAAAUAAUCAUGUUAUCAUAGAGAAAAUUACACUAAGAACAUACAUUUUCUAUUUUUACACACUUUUAACUAUUUUUAAACUAUUUAAUAAGCAUAAACCUGAAUAAGUCAAGAGUUCCUAUAUAGAGAAUCAAGAGAAGCAUUGAGAGAAGAUUAGUCUUGUAGUGCACAAGUGAUUAGGGCUACUCUUAUUUAGAAAUAGAGAGAUAGAGUGUUGGGAAGAGUUGGGGAAAGCUUCGGCUUGUUGGUGGCUCCUCUUCGGCUUGUACCUAUGGGAUCAAGUUUGCUGCUUAUAUUUCACUACCUCCCCGUGUCAGGAUUGGGUUUUGCUCGCCUGUUUGUAUGAUUUGGGAGCGGAAUUAAAUCAUAAGCAGGAGGAUACAGUGUCUGAUAAGAAUAAGUAUUAACCUUAUGUUUUAUUCCAAACUGGUCUCUCAUGACCUCUGCUAUCUUAUCGGCCCAAUAGGCAUCGGCAUCCUACCGAUGUGCGGGUUGAAUUUCUGGCACCUGCUGAUAAGCUUCCACGUGUCUCUGGGGUACACAGUCUCCAAGAAACAUUACAUUGGCCAUAGCUUGUUGACCACCAACCUGUUGAGCGAGAUUCAUCGGCUGAUUUACUGGUCCUUGAUUCUGAAAACCGACUUGCAUGUGUCCUUGCUGGAAUCCCGCAGCCUGAUGAUUCUACUAUGUCACAUGUGGAAAGAACAACUGCUCUGUCCAACCAUUAUUGGCGUUCAUCGGCAUAUGUCCUACCGAUGGUUAAUAAUUAGUUGUCAUUGCUGGAUUGGCAUAACCUGUUUGAGUCACAAACCUCGGUUGAGUUGGCAACGGAUUUGCCGAUGAAUUUGCAUUAGGCAUCUGGAAUGUCGGCAUUUGAAAAUUCCCUGUAAUAGGUCUUGCAGUAGUAGUUGUUGAAUACUGAAGAAUUUGAGUCAUCGGCGAAACUAGGGGUGCUGAUGUCAUAGGAGCCUUCCCUGCUAAGUCAGUUACCUGAGAUGUUCCAGAACAAAAAACUCUGGAGGCAUACCAUAUCCCCACCAAUUGAGAGGAACUUGAUAAUUCUGAAACACAGACCCUGACAUUGCCGAUGUCGAUAAAUCUGUGUUGAGCUGAACCCGUCCCCCUAAUGUCAUUGGAUUAGGUCUCAUCGGUGUAGAUUGCUCAUUAGUCAACCCUAUUGUGCUUGGAGGAGAAGUAGCUUGUGUACCUGCAACGGCUGGAAGAGCCGAUGGAGCUGUAUCCGAUGACAAACCUGACUGAUGAUAGGUCAGGCCAGCAUAUAGUGGUGGUGUCUGUCCUUCUUUAAAAGUUCUAGCCACAACAUUGUAAACAGUAUUGGCCAGCACAUUGGAGUGAUUAAUCAAGGCACGAUUAAUAGCAUUAUCAACCAUGUCUUGCAAUUUACCAUGAUUGGGAUCAAAAGUAACCUACCGAGGCAUCGGCAGCUCUUGCUUCUGGAUAACAUCCCCGCUCCUGUUGACGCUAAAGGACUUCAAGCAAAGCUGCUUGUAUUCCUCCAUAGCCCUCUCCAUAGCCUGCUUCUGCUUGUCCCUGAGAUCGGCUUCUGUCACAACAAUGACAUUCUCCGUGUCGAGAUCAACAGUAGCCAUGUUGAUUUUGUUGAUAGAUUGGUCCCACUAGGCAUGCCAAAAUAUGUGUUGAUGCAAAAAUAGAUCAGCAAACAUAAAGGGCUAAUACUCAAUUCAAACGUUGAGGUGUGCCAGCCGAUUUGACCUAGCAAUCAACAAAGGUGAUAACUUGAAUACUUUGGUCCCGACAACAGCGAUACGCCCGAAUGACAUGGCCAAGAGGUACUCACGCGGAACUCGAGAAUUCGCCGAGUGUUGCUCGAUGAAUCCUUAAGAACUCGUAAAGAAAAGAAAAUGUGCAGAUUGACGAAGUCGUCGAAAAAGUAGAUGUAAUAGUAGAUGUAAAAACUUGUGUAUGAUAUUUAUUAAUUGUCCUCCUUACAUCGCUACUAGGCUUAUAUUUAUACUCUGUCCUAAAGAGUUACAACCGUAUAUGACUAGGAUUUAAUUCUAAACUAAACAGGACUCUUACGUAAGGCAAACUCUAACAAAUAUGGAAAAGAAACACCUAUCUAUUCUGGUAAUCAGCAUAUCACUGUUGCCUUCCUAGCAACUCCCACAUCUCCCUUCAUCAUCAUCGGCAUACUCCUUGUAUCCUUUCAUCAUCAACGGCAUAUUCCCUGUAUCCUUACCAACUCCCAUACCUUUCCUCAUCGGCAUCAGCAAUCAUCAACAUCGGCAACCAAUCAGUAAUGAUCAAUGGCUACCGCCAAGCUUAGCAACAUCUUCCACCCAUCAUCCAGUCAUCAACAUCAUUAGCUAUCGACAAUCUUCUCACCAACUAGACACAACAUCUCCUUGACUGCCGAUUAAGUUUCACUGACUACCCCGACUUGUGCCCAAACAACGGUGUCAACAAAACCGGACUUGGAAGCUUAGGCAAAUCAACAUAGUUUAAGUCUACAAUUAGAAGCUCAUGAUGCUUAGAGUACAAGAACAAGACAAAAAUGCAAAUGAAUAUCUAGACUUAAAUGUUUCUUCAAGUGAUAUCCAACAAAUGGUACUCAUGAUGAUAAUAGCAAAUGUUCAAGAUAGCAAACAAGUGGUUCCAUACUAGAAGACCUUUAAUUGAUAGAAGAUUUUCAUUUGGUAUUGGACAAGGUCUUCCAAAUAAUAUCACAUCUCUACAUGUGGUAUCUAUCAUACAAGAAGGUGGUUCCACAAGUGAUCCUCAACUUUAAGUGACCAUCAAGAGAAGAAAAGUUCCCUCACCAAUAAGAUUGUCAAGUGAAUGACCCAUGCUAUGACAUAGGGGGAGGUUCCCCACCAAAUGGUAUCAAGGUCAAAGAUCCUAUGUGGUAUCUCAAGAGCAAUACAAAUGAUGUCAUUCCAACACAUAUGGUUAUGUCCAUAAAAAAUGCAAGAUUCAAGCCUCAACCAUCUACCUCAUAUGCAAUCAUUUGUCACAAUGAGAUGCACACUUUUUCAAUUGGUGUCAAGUGAUUUAAUUGGUAUCACAUACUUUUUAUAGAAAUUGAUGACAAAGGGGGAGAAAUUUGUGCAAAGAUAUAAAAUAUGGGAAGUUGGUUUAAACAUGGACAUGGACAAAGAGGGAACAACAUUAAGGAAAAGAGAUGGAUCAAAAUUCUUGGACAAGAGAAGCACACAAGUAGGAGGAGCAGGCUCAUGAACCUUGUUUUUUUGCAUUUGAUAUGUGUAUAUUCAUGUGCUUGCUUACAUUGCAUAAGUUUUUAAAUUCUAUAUGCAUGUUUGUGUGGUGUAUGCUAGUUAUAGAACUUGAUGAAUGAUAUGAUAACUAGCAUGCAUAGGUUGGUAACUAGACUUGUCUUCAAAAGGUAAAAACUAGACCCUUGCUUAUAAUGUUGAUCUCAUAGGGUUUCUAGUGUUUUUGUUGUCUAGCUACUAAUGGUGCUAAGGAUGGUGUACAUUGAAUACUUCAAAUGAUAUCGAAUUUGGUUUCAAGCUACAAAGGUUUAUUCUAUACACCUUAGCACUUAGUAGGGUUUUAUGGUGCUUAUCCGAAUCUUGAUAUAGAGCUUAAAUGUUGGAUAAGUAGCAUAAAAUCCAAAUCAAGUUAGCAAUUUACACUUGUGUGAAGUGCUAGCUUGAAAAAGCUUAAUUUCCAUAUCUUUGUAGAGUUGUCAUCAAUUAACAAAAAGGGGGAGAUUGAAAGGUCCUUGUUUGGUUUUGGUAAUUGAGUGACAACUUAAGUGGACUAAUAGUAUUUAUGUGAGAUACAUAGGAGAUUAGUCCACAGGUGAUUACGUAAUGAUGAAGGAGCUCAUUGCAUAUGAGACAUGACAUGGAGUCAUGUGACCAAGGUGGAGAAGAUCAAGAUGAGGCUUGGCUCGAUGGACUGGUUGCAAGAGUGAAGGGCAAGUCGGAGGCUUUGAAGUGAGGGACCGCGUGUGACGGUGAAGCUUGAGCAAGACUUGGCGCUGAUGGACCAAGGCAACGGUGAAGAGCAAGUGAGGUCAAGAUCGAUGAACCAAUACAGUCAUGUGAUGAUAUGAACUGGAUCAUAUAAUUUGGUGAUUCGUUGCUACAUGUGUUGCAUCAACAUUGUAGGAGAUAGAAUGGAAAGCGCAAGGCAAAGGUAUAACCUAGGGCAUUUCCAUUUCACUGGUCAUAAGUGUGUAGAGAAGAUCACAACAGAUGGUGUUAGCACAUUCGGCGCUUUUGAGAAAAUGAAACGCAUAUUUUCUAUUGCAUCGGUGGGAAUUUUGGAGAAGUUAUGGGAGUCACCGGAGAGGCACCAGACGCUACACCGUGUGUCCGGUGCGCUCUCGGUUUCAAGCACUGUUAACGCUAAGCACCGAACGCGGGCUAGAUUCUGUUCAUGCGUCCGGUGUGGCUUGACUUCAGCAGGUGCUUCUCACUAAGAGCACCAGACGCUCAGGGAGUGUCCGGUGGUGUGAGUCCAGUGACCCUGCGAGUUUGUUUUGCUCUUUGCGUACAGGUCCGAUGUGCACAGGACACAUCCGGUGUGGACCAGCAGAGCGUCCGGUGUGGCUGGUGCAGGCACAUGCAUGUGUUAGCCAUUGGCGGCAACGGUCGAGUUCAAAUGGCUUACGAGAAUCCUGCAAACUUGUUAGGAGCAACUGCAAAGAAUCACGAGCAAAGCAAGGGUUUACUCAGCCUUUAUAUUCUCUAAAAUCUCUAAAAUCAUUAUUAAAGCCCCAUGUGAAUCUCGGCUUAGCUACAAGGCCCAUGAUUAGCAGGGCGUAAAAUACAAGAGGAAAACCCCAAAUCGGCAGCUCUACUUGGCGUUGCAGGUCGAGUCCGGCAGAUAGCAGUAGUAGUAGGUCGGUUCCGUUUAGUACCACAUCGCCUAUGUUAGCGAACGCACGUCUCCAACGAUGUAUAAAAGUAGGCUGUGGGCUAAUGCUCCAACUCAUCUUUGCGCUUGGGGCAAUGACGCAGCUCAUGAGGUAUUACCGAGGCGCGUCAAUUGCUGGUUGAAAACUAUUUCCAAACCCCCUCAGCGCGGCCCACCAGGGCGCCAGAGAAUUUCUGGAAGGGCUCCCUCUAACCAGGGUAAAGCCCACAAUUGACUGAAAAUUUUAGAGGCCUUACAGUUGCUAAGCAAUCAGCAGUUCGUAACUGGAAAUAAUUGUUUUGGCUGUUUCAGCUGUUUUAUCAAAGCAGCUUAGAUAUGACUUUAUCAUAGAGUCUAAAUAAGAUUUGGAGUCUUAUUUUUUCUACUUCUUUCUUUAAUAAAUAUGAUUUUACAUCAGUAAAAUACCAUAAAUUAUUUUGUACUCUGUAAUAGAGUCUUGUAUUGGAUGCUCUGGGAUGCUCUUAGCCUUCGUUAUUGUACAGUUUCCCAGAGUACUCUGACAAAACGGACAGGAAGGUGAGCAAACUUACGUCAGUGAAAAGGAUGCCGGCGACACCUGCCAUAGCGAACCGGCAGUGCACGAGCUCGGCCUGAACGUACCACUUCAAGCUUGCCGGAUCCUCGCCGAGGCCCAAGGGAUCGAAGCCGAAGUCACCUGGUAGUCUGCAACAAAUCAUCAGAGAUAACUACUCCACUGUCAGCUGACGAACAUCCAUCGCCCGCAGAGAAAUAAGCACCGCAGAUAUCAGAGCAGUCAGAAAACCGACGUGCCGUCGAGGUGAGGAGGCGGGUCCAGUCCGGGCAACCAGGUCGGCCGCUGAGUGCCGGCGGCUCGGACGGCGACGACCCGAGCUCUGGACAAAUACAGCCGGGAAUGGUUGUUGCGUGCUUGAUGAUCUUGUCUUUUGGCCGGGGGUGUUGGACAAAAAGAAGCUCUCGGUUCUGGAUAUGGAAUUAGAGGCGUUCGUUGCUUCGUUCAAAGGCUGACGGGCUGUGAAGCUGAUGCCAGGGCGGAAAAGCGCAAAAAUGUGGUGGUUUGCCAGGCUCCGAUCUGAUAAGGCGAGGAGAACUUUUUGGGCCACACUAUCUGUGGUCUGUGGACUGGCACGAGCAUUCCAGCUACUGGUUGGUGGUAUUUUCUUCUUUUUGCAGGCUGAGACGUGAAGUAACAGAUGGGCCUCUGGCGGGCCGUGUUCCUCUGCAUUCAAUGGUUCGUUAGUUUUUUUUUCUUUUGUUUCGAAAAAAAAUUGGGUAAAUUUUUUUUUCAAGAAAUGUUUGGAAAGUUUAGCUUGAGAGAACAGAGUACAUGACAAGAAUUUGAGAGUGUAUGCCAACCAGGACUUACGGCCCGCAAUGGUUCGUGCAUAAAUGUGGUGAUAUUAAGUUUUUACAACUAUUCCAGUAUCUACUUUUCAGCACCACCCUUUUGAGUCCAUCACUCCUAACGCGGCGCCGCCUUCCAAGUUCCUGCUGAAGAAAGAGGGUGAAGAUGAAAAGGUGCCGGCGAUCCUAAACAAGGAGUACUCGGCGUGGAUAGCCAAGGACCAACAGGUCCUGAGCUAUCUGCUUGUUUCCCUGUCGAAGGAGAUCCUUCUCCAAGUCUCCAAUGCCACGACGGCGUCCGAGGUGUGGGCAGGCAUAGAAUCUUUCUUUGCCUCCCAAUCACGUGUGAAGAUCAUCAGCACCGGGAUGGCCUUGGGCAAUGCAUCCAAAGGCUCAUCCACCGUCGCAGAGUAUUACUCCAAGAUGAAAACACUCGCCAACGAGAUGGCAUCAGCGGGGCGUCGCCAGGAGGAUGACGAGUUUGUGCCCUACAUCUUGAAUGGGCUCGACGAAGACUUUGAUGCCGUGGUGACAGCGGUUGCUGCUAGGGUUGAACCCAUCACACCUGGUGAGCUUUAUACUAAGAUGAUUAGUCAUGAACAAAGAUUGGAACUGCGCAGUGGAGGAUCUCAGUCCUCUGUCAAUCUUGCGUCGUGCUGUGGUCAUGGCGGAGGGAAUCAGAAGGGUCUGCGCCCUGGAUCUGGAUCUGGUGGUAACAACCAUCAGAAUCAGAAGGGCGGGUGGAACAACAACAAUGCCAACAAAGAUCAAGCUCCUUUUUAGUAGGGUCUGAUUUGUCAGGUCUGUGGGAAGGAGGGACACCCUACAUAUCGUUGCUUCAAGAGGUUUAACCGAUCCUUCACCGGGCCACCGCAGAAGUCCGCCUCUGCCGCCACCUCGACAUAUGGAGUAGAUACCAACUGGUAUAUGGACUCCGAAGCUACUGACCACAUCACCAGCGAGUUGGACAAGCUGUCCGUCCGCAACAGGUACGACAGCGGCGACCAUGUUCACACCGCCAAUGGUUUAGGUAUGAAGAUUUCACAUGUUGGUCAUAGUUUUGUGCAAUCUCCAUCGCAUAAAAUUCAUCUAAAUAAUAUACUUCAUGUUCCUGAUGCUAGCAAAAGUUUAGUAUCUGUUAAUCGUCUCACACGAGACAAUAAUGUUUUUGUUGAGUUCCAUCCUGAUCAUUUUCUUAUAAAGGAGGCGGUGAAGAAGAACAUACUCCUCAGAGGCAAGGUUGAAGGAGGUCUCUAUCCUAUCGUGAGUAGGUCAUCACUAAAUAAGCAAGCACUUGGCGUCAUCAAACCGUCUUCCUCCACAUGGCACAGUCGGCCAGCUCCUCUAGUGGUUCAUCGAGUCCUUAGUCAUCAUAAUCUUCCCUUUGUUCAGGAUGAAAACAAUAAACAUGUGUGUGAUGCUUGUCAACAGGGCAAAAGUCAUCAAUUGCCCUAUCCAAAGUCCACUAGUGUGACUACUAGUCCUUUGGAUCUUGUUUUUUCUUAUGUGUGGGGGCCUGCACCAUCAUCUGUAGGUCUCUUUAGUUAUUAUGUGAGCUUUAUUGAUGACUACUAAAAAUUUUCUUGGAUUUAUUUGAUUCGCCACAAAUCUGAAGUUUUUCAACGCUUCCAAGAUUUCCAUAGCUUAGUUGAACGACAGUUUGAUAAAAAAUCCAAGCUAUGCAAACUGAUUGGGGGGAGAGUAUCAAUCCUUGAAUUCUUUUUAAAAAUGAAUUGGCAUUCAUCAUUUUGUUUCAUGUCCACAUGCACACCAGCAAAAUGGAGCCACAGAACGCAAACAUAGACAUAUAGUUGAGAUGGGAAUCACCCUGCUUGCCCAUGCAGCAAUGCCACUCAAGUUCUGGGAUGAAGCAUUCCAGACUGUUGUCUUUCUUAUCAAUCGAUUGCCAUCUAAAGUUAUUGACAAUGAUACACCCCUCCAUCGCCUCUAUAAACAAGAACCAGAUUAUAGCUUCCUUCGUACUUUUGGCUAUGCCGUUUGGCCAAACCUGAGAGCCUAUAACACAUGCAAGCUUCAAUUCCGCUCCAAACGUUGUGUAUUUAUAGGAUAUAGAAAUUCUCUCAAAGGUUUCAAAUGCCUAGACCCAAGUGAAGGCAGAAUUUACAUUUCACGAGAUGUCGUCUUUGAUGAAACUGUGUUUCCUUUUUCACAGUUACAUGCCAAUGCAGGGGCGCAAUUGCGUACUGAACUCCAAGUGCUCCCUCAAAUCCUUCUAAAUCCAUCUAUGUCUUUUGGAGAUGCACAUAUACAUGAUCAGCAUUUCACUUCUUCUGUGCCUGCUAAUGUUUCUUCUAGCUCUAUGUUUCAGUCUAUAGAAAAAACUUCCACACCAAACAGUGCCUGCAGCAGUGAACAUGGUGAUGCUGACCAGCCAUAUCGCAUGUGUCCCGUGCCGUCCGGACACACACAUGCCAAUGGUGAUCCACCGGUGGACACCACCAGCAUAGGCUCAAGAUCACCAUCGGGAUCCCUGCGGUCACCAGGCGUGGUGCCUUCUACAAUGAUCGCGCUGAUGUCCUCCUCUACACCUGCUGCCUCACCUGAUCCAAGCGCGGGGGAGCAGCUACUCGACUUGGCGACCGAAUCAGGUUAGCCACACUCGGAAUCAGUUGUGCCUGAGUCUGGUACGUCGCCUCCAGUGGCUUCGCACAAUCCGCACGAUUGGUUGCAAAAGGGUACAAAUAGAGGUAUGGAAUAGGCUACGAAGAUACUUUCAGACCUGUUGUAAAGGCAGCUACCAUACAAUUGAUAUUAUCUGUGGCAGUAACAAAGGGCUGGAGUCUUCGACAACUUGACGUUCAGAAUGCUUUUCUACAUGGGGUUCUGAAUGAGGAGGUAUAUAUGUAUCAGCCACCGGGAUAUGAGAACAAAGAGCAUCCAUGAUAUGUGUCUAAAUUCGACAAGGCCUUGUAUGGUCUAAAGGAGCCUGGUUUGCUCGGCUCAGUGCAAAGCUAGAGUCCUUGGGUUUUGUUUCUUCAAAGGGUGACACAUCCUUGUUCUACUAUAACAAGGGAAAAUUCAGCGUAUUCAUUCUUGUGUAUGUGGACGACAUAAUAGUUGCAAGUUCAUCGCCGGAGGCAACCAAAGCAUUACUCAGUAAUCUUCAGAAAGAUUUUGCUUUAAAGGAUUUAGGUGACUUACACUACUUCGUUGGAAUUGAAGUGAAAAGAACUCAAGACGGCCUAGUGCUUAGCCAGCAAAGAUAUGCAACCGACGUCCUCUCUAGAUCUAGAAUGAGCAAGUGCAAGGCCAUUGAUACACCGCUUUCAAGUACAGAAAAGUUAAGUGCUGCAGAGGGUACUGCUCUUGGACCUGAGGAUAGCACAAAAUACAGAAGCAUGGUUGGUGCAUUGCAGUACUUGACUUUGACAAGACCAGAUAUAGCAUUUGCUAUGAACAAAGUGUGUCAAUUCCUUCAUACACCUACGGUUAUUCACUAGAGUGCAGUCAAACGCAUACUUCGUUAUGUACAGGGAACAGUCAGUUUAGGACUAAAGAUUGGGAGAUCAAAGUCCAUGAUAGUGAAUGGUUUCUGUGAUGUCGAUUCGGCUGGUUGUGUGGAUGACAGAAGAUCAACUGGCGGCUUUGCCAUUUAUCUUGGUGAUAAUCUAGUCUCCUGGAGUGAAGCAACCCACAGUUUCAAGAUCUAGUACAGAAGCUGAGUAUAAAUCUUUGGUAAAUGCAACAGCAGAAAUGAUUUGGAUUCAGCAGUUACUAACAGAACUCGGUGUGAGUCAUUCACCUACUGCACGGCUAUGGUGUGAUAACAUAGGAGGAACUUAUUUAUUUGCUAAUCCAGUAUUCCAUGCUUGAACAAAACAUAUUGAAAUUGAUUUCCAUUUUGUCCGAGAAAGAGUUGCACAGAGGUUACUUGACAUCAGGUUCAUAAGUACUGAUGAUCAGAUAGCAGAUGACUUCACUAAGGCGUUACCUCAAGUGUAGUUGAGAGCUUUCAGAAACAAUCUCAACCUUGUUAGUGGCUGAGAUUGAGAAGGGGUGUUAAGAGAUAAAUCUCCUCCCUAUGUCUAGGUUCUUUGUAUCUAAUCAGAUCCUAGUCAUUAGCCUAGAUUAUAGGAACAGAUGUAUUCUAUGCAUGUAAUCAGUUGUAAUUGAUCUCCUGUACAUGCCACCGCCGUGGGGGCUAUUCCCCGGUCAAUAGAAACAUGCAACCGAGUAUGUCAAGGGCUUCAUACUCGUUAACCUAAAACUUUACAAUGGAAUUCUGCAGAGUAGAGUUCUAUGUGAUGCAUUAGCAUAGAUCAGAAAAAUCCGCAAGCGAUGCAUUAGCAUAGAUCAGAAAAAUCUAUCAUUGUUACCAGGGCCCAUGUGUCAGCCAGACAAACACGCACAUAACAUAACACAACAUCACAGCCCCGGGCCGGGCCUUCCCCAAACCAGAGCACACCUCUUGCUCUCGAAAAACCUGAAGCAAAAUAAUAAGAAGUCUACUUCGACUUCCUCAAGUAUCACAAAAAAAUCAGUUUCUCCACCCUGAAUUAGAAAAUCGGACAUAACUCUUCUUCCAUCAUUUCAAACCCGACAUAUGACCUCCCUUGCUGUUUGUCUAGGUGGAUUUUCUUUUGUUUCUUUUUAUAUUUAUUUUAGCCAAAUCUUUGAAAAAAUAAUAGUAAAUUACAGAAAAAUCAUGAAACAAAAACUCUAUUUUUUUAACUCCACAUAAAUAGUUCUACACAGUAAACAUAUGAUAUGAUAUGCUUUAGUACUUUUUGCUCUAACUUUAGGUCUAUGCUUUUCUAUGAUUAAUUCAUAGCUGCACUUUCUUUGGUCCUAUUGUGGUGAAGUUUUUCUGGUGCACUAAUCAUUAUAUGCUUGAGAGGUAGUAAAAGUUUCAUGCUGAUUGGAUCAAGUAUGACUGAGUUAUAGACUUAUUUAGGUUUAUGCUUAUUAAAUAGUUUAAAAUAGUUAAAAGUGUGUAAAAAUAGAAAAUGUAUGUUCUUAGUGUAAUUUUCUCUAUGAUAACAUGAUUAUUUUAAGUGUUAAUAAGAUAUAAAAAUAGUAAUGUUACAUAGAGAACACAUGUUUUCUAAUUUUACACACUUUUAACCAUUUAAAAACUAUUUAAUAAGCAUAAACUUGAAUAAAUCUAUCGGACAUGCAGGAUUCAAUGAGCGUGAAAUUUUUACAACAUCUCAAGCAUACAAUGACUAGUACACCAUAAAAAUUUCAUCAGACUACAAAAACUGUAGCUACGAAAUAAUCAUAGAAAAGCAUAGAUCUAAAGCUAGAGCAAAACUUUUAUACUAAAGUAUAUCAUAUCAAAAGUUUACUAUAUAGAUUUACUCAUGUGGAAUCCAAUAAAAUUAGACUUUCUAUUUUAUGUUUUCUAUAAUUUACUUUUUUCAAAGAUUUAGCCAAAAUAAAUAUAAAAACAACCUAGAAAAAUAGUGAGUAGAUCAUACUCCCUCUAUCUUUGAAAGCUUCAAUUCCUAGAAUAUCAUACUCCCUCUGUCUUUAAAAGCUUCAAUUCCUAGAAUUCGUACUAGUCGUAAACCAAAUGAAUAAUAAUAACAACGAACUUACUUGAAUUAGAAGUUGAAUACUAAAAGACUCUCAGAAGGAGGCUCCAGAGUUAGUGGAACUUGAUCCCGUAGGUACAAGCCGAGGAGGAGCCACCAACAAGCCGAAGCUUUCCCCAACUCUUCCCAACACUCUAUUUCUCUAUUUCUAAAUAAGACUAGCCCUAAUCACUUGUGCACUACAAGACUAAUCUUCUCUCAAUGCUUCUCUUGAUUCUCUAUAUAGGAACUCUUGACGUACAAGCAGAAUUAGGGUUUCAACUUAGAGGGGAAUGCUUUCAUCUAGAGGGCUUGGUAUUUAUAGCCCUGUGGAAUGAACAUGGGCCAUUGGAUCAAACCGACUUAAACAAUGGUGGAGAUCAAUCCUUGAGGUUGGUGGAGGAAUGUGAGAGAAGGCCACGCUAGGUGGGGCCAGGCUGGGUCGGCCGUCCUAGCCCCUAGGUCAGCCGACCUGGCCCUAUGCCAGGUGGGCACCUCUUUGCAGGGUCUCACCUUUGGUAUUCUCUAUAAUGUUCUUCUCUCAAGAUUACGUUGGAAUAUGACUUUUACACCGACGUCCACUAUAUCUUCUCCUAUUUUCCUGUUUAAUCCUUGAAAAACACACAUAUACCAAAACUCGUGGAACUCUAUCAAUUGAACCCCUAUCCUAUACAUAUAUUUCAUUAUGAGCAUUUAUGCAUGUUUAGUUGGUGGUUAAAAGUAACACUUAUCAACCGUCAGUAGUGUCGCGGGUAGUGCAACGCCCUCGUCUUGUCUUGCUUUGUGUGCUCAUCCUUGCCAGCUUCAGGCUAGACAAUGGUAUGAACAAGGUGCAUGCCAUCGAGUCUGAUCUUGAUGUCGGUCGCCCAAGUGAGGUAGUUGCUGCCAUCCACGGCGAGCAUCUCAAAAUCUCUCUUUGCGAUGUCCAACAUGCCCGCACAAUUAAACUACAGGAUUAGUAGAUGUCGAUGCGUAAUUUUUAGUAUUACGUCUUAAUAUAGGUGUAAUCUUCAAGAUUACUUUAUAAUUAAAUAUUAAGAAUUGUAAUAAAAUAAAUAUGUGGAAUUUAAAUACAGCAGCAACAGUAGCAGCAGCAGCAACAACAACAAUAACAAUAACACCCCACUUUCCCCCCUCCCCACCCCGCCCCGCACACGGUAGCGCACGGCAGAACCGCGCCGCCGCCGUUGCCGCCCAGCCCCGUGCCGCCAUGCCGCCCAUGCAGCCGCAACGCUGGGCCGCGCUCGAGGGCCGCCGCCGCUAUAGGGCCGCCGCGCGCCAGCGUGUAGAGCAGGAGGGCCGCCGUCCGACGCCCUCGCCGGCUGCCUUCUGCUGCCGAGGGGAGCAAAGCCGCAGCUUGUGCACGUGCCGGUCUCCACCCCACCGACGCAUCUCAAUUUGCCGAGGGUGUUGGGCUGGAGUUGAAUGCAAUUUUGGGUUCUUAUUUUUUUUAGUCCAGCAUGCGAAUAGAAUUUUAGGGGCAUAAUUUGAGGACCGGGCGUUGUGCAGGAAUAAAGAGAGGAGGAGGUAGCCAUGGGGGCAGGCCGCGCCCCUUGCCAAUGGCCGUGCCUGCGCCGACGGCUGUGGCCGCUCUAGGGCCGCGCGCCGCGUCGGGGCUUGCCCGUGCCCUGCGUUCAGUAAUAUAAUGCAGCAUGUACAUGCUCAAUAUUGCUUAUCUGGACCAUCCAAAUGUGCUCUGAGAUUCGUGCUGCUGCACUUCUUCUAACUGUGUUCACACUUCUCCCUAUUGUUUUACACAUAUUCAACAGUAUAGAUAAGCAAUGUCCAGCAUGUAGACCUCAUCUGUGCAGGGGCCAGCGCCGGCGGCCGUGCCGGGCCGCGCCGAGGGCCCGCUGUGGCAGUAUGUGCCCGGUUGCGUCAGGGCGCCAUGGUAGCUGUCCGCACGAAAUAUCAAGCCACGAAAUCCCAAAAACACCCUCGCACGGGUAGCUGUCCGCGAAACCGCGACUCCGUCCCUUCUCCCACGUGUUCCUCGCCGCCGCCGAACUCCAACGCGUCACGCCUCUUGCCUCCCUCCACGAAGAAGCGGAGCACACGCCACCAGCUCCACGGAAUCCGACGGCCUCGCCCUCCUCGUCUCCUCCUGUGGACUGGAGCGCCGCCGGGUAGAGAUCUCUCCCACAUCCGCGCCUCAGCCAAUUCCUCCUACCUCCGGUAAGGCGGGCUCUAUUAUGGCCACGAAUUUUUAAGUCUAAUUCUUUGUUACGACCUUUGCUUGUUCGACAUAUGGUACUAGGUGAUUUUGGUUUUACUAAUCGAAUAGUGGGUUACAGAGUUGGUUGGUGACCGUGUCCACGCUGGUAUCACAGUUUGCAGUUCAGUUAUGUUAGUAUCUUUGAUUUGUUGGCCAGGCAUAUUUCAGCUCCUUGCCAUCCCAUGAUCGAAUACUAUUGCACGGGUGGCCAUUUGCUACCUUCACAUGUAUGCUCUGCCCUCGCUCAUCUCAUAGUUUUGCUCUAAUAUGGAACAAAAACAAAUGACGCCUUUGAUUUCUUUGUGGUGCUUAGUUUGGUACUUCAGCUCCCGUAUAGGUUCGGUCACCAAAUGUCAGCUUUGAAUCCUGUAUGCAUUGAGCCAUUGCUAUUUAAUACGUCUUUGCUCGCUCGUGAAUUCUGGUUAUUCCUCCAGUGUAAAGUGUGGCUUAGAAAUGCUUACCCCCUAGUCUGAUGAGACUUUGUUUGAUGAUUGGUGGGACGGAAGUUCAAAUGCAGUGGCUGUUCACUUAAGAAAGGGACUCAACUCCAUCAUUAUUCUAGGAGCGUGGAAUAUUCGUAAUUGUUGUGUGUUUGAUGCUGAAUCUCCAAACCUAGCUACAGCUCUGUUGCUCGCUAGUGAGGGGCUUCUUUAUUGGAGCUUGGCAGGGGCACAGGUAUCAAUAAUCUCAUUUCCUAGGGGCUGAAUAUGGAGUUAAUUUUGGGUUGAGGUCACCUACUUUGUGUGUCAAGGGCUAGUUUGUUUAAUUUGGACAUAGUGGUGUUAGUGGUUGUGCCUUGUAUGUGUUCUUAUCCAUUUUUUCUUCUUAAUACAAUGAUACCCAGCUCUCUUGCGUGUUCGAGAAAAAAAAUUGAUAUUUAAUACAUUGGUAACUAGUAUUAUCAGCAUCAGGCUUGGCGUAAAAAAUUUGUUUCUUGCAACCUAGCUUAUUCGUUUGUGUACCACUGCCAUAUGGGACAGCAGGAAUAGGACAUGAUCUAUGGUAGGUUAUUUUGCCUUCACUUUAGGUGUGCUAUUCUAAUAGUGACCAAUCCUGUCCAUGCUGACAUGUUGUUAUCGCAGUUCAGUUAUGUUAUUAUCUUUGAUUUGUUUGUUAGGCAUAAUUCUGCUCCUUGCUAUCCCAUGAUCAAAUACUAGUGCACGGGUGGCCAUUUGCUACCUUCACAUGUAUCCUCUGCCCCCCUGCCCGCUGAUCUCACAGUUUUAAUGGUGCCUUUGAUUUUUUUGUGGUCCUUAAUUAGUUUGUACUUUGUACUUCAGCUCCCGAAGGUUCAGUCACGAAAUGUGGAUGGGCUUUAAAUCCUGUGUAUGCAUUGAUAUUUAAAUUAAUAUGUUGGUAACGAGUGUAUCAGAGCUAUCUGCACCCCUGUUUGCUACAGCUAAUACGUCUGCUUUGCUAUCAUUUCUACAGAGAAUGGUGAUCCUCUGUCCAGGGUGUGUUGCUCCAUCAGUUCACCGUCCAUCAGUCACCGUAAUUUUCUGCCCAGAUGGUUGCUGCUGAACAAUAGCUCGAGAAUGUAUUGCCAUGUAUUUCUAGACAGAAUGAAACCAAAAGGACAAAACAAACAUCAGAGGAUGCCUUGCUUCUCCAAGGGGUCUUCCUUUCAAGGUACUGUCUGAUCAGACUUUUGAUGUUGUCGCUCCAAGCUUAUUUCUUUGCCCUGGUAAACAAUGUAUUUCUAUGUGAUUGUUCUUUGUAAUAUACCCAUCAAUAUAGUAUGCAUUCAUAUUGCGUAGUUGUAUGCAACGGUUUCUGCUUCCACAAGGAAUCAUAUUAAUGUUUCACUUACCGGCUGCAAUGUAGUUGUAGUUUGUUUUCUCCUAUUUAAUUUCUCAUUUUAUUUUACUAUUGACACCAUGAAAGCUCUGUUUGUUGGUUGUGAAAAGUUACCAUUGUAUCCACACCAUUCAGUGACCAACUGACCAUUGUUCCUUCAACUCUGCAGAUCUGGUGCCCGCUGUAAAGCCUUCACGCCUUCUUCCAGCAGAGGAACUAAAGACAUAUCCCAAUACUGUUCCUGAGGAGAUAUUUAACACAAUCAUACUAGAUGACGCUGAUUCGUUCUAUAUGCUGGAGCUUAGCACAAGUAGAGAAUUUAGUUCAUCUUUGGAGAAAAAUUCUGCAAUCUUAAUCUGCUUGAUUGAUGUUGAUGGUGACUCCUUUCUACAAAGAGUACCGGCAAUCUAUUUGGGUCAACCUACACUUGGAAUUAAGACAGCGCAACUGAUACCCAUCCAAAGUGGUUCAGUUGAUGUUGUCACUUUCAAGGCCUCAAAACUGAAAAGGAUUAAAGAAGUCUGGAUCGGUCUAGAAUCAGGUACAUCCCAUUUCAUGUUCUUUGCAAAUAUAAUGUAAUGGCAGUAUGUUCACCUGAUGAGUGUUUUCUAUCCUUUGUUUAUCAAUCUUAUCCUUGAAGGUCAGGUUCAUGGAGAUUAGAUGGUUUGAGCUUGAAAGUAAUACAUGGACCGGUUGAUCCACCUAAAGAAAUUAAUGGAACUCCUGAACAGAAGUUCAAUGGUUUGCAGUACACUUUUGAGAAAAUAAAUGAGCUUCUUGGAGAUGAUGGAGCUUCAGUAGCUGAAGCAAGGCCUGUGGCUGUCACUGACCUCUCAGGAGUCGGCCUUUCCAAUCUUCAAGAAGGGUUGUUAUCCUCAGAAAGCAAAGCUUCAAGCGUUAAGGAACUAAGAGAGGAUGGGUUGAGAGAGUAUGCUGACCUCAAACAAUCUCUGCUGCUCUAUGAUGCAUCUAUAGUGAUCACUGGCUUCUCCGCCUUCACCUUGGCUUCCAAUGAUAGCGCCGCCUAUUCGUUCCUGAUAGGUGGCAUUGGUGGGUUCCUCUAUCUGUUGCUGCUCCAAAGAUCAGUUGAUGGUUUGCCUGUGAUCACUUCACCUUCAGAAGCUGGCAGUGCACAGCCCUCGGUAACAGGUUUCAGUGGUGUAAGGAGGCCAUGGUUGAUACUAUCACUAGUACUGGUUGCAGGCGCAGUUGCACUGAAGUAUUGUGCUGGAGGUGACAGCUUUGAACUCACACCGACGGAGCUCUUUGUUGGCACCGCAGGGUUCCUAGCAAACAAGGUUGUUGUUCUUCUUGCAGCAUUCAUGCCUAUGCUAAGUGACUCGAAGAGUGAAGAUGGAUCUGGGGACAUCAAUUAACUGGACUUUAAAAAUAGGUUCGUACUAGUUUCAUAUAGAAGCUCUAUAUUCAAGAUCUGAAGGUAGUCUCAUAUAGAAGCUCUAUAUUCAAGAUCUGAAAGCAAUUAGCUGAUGUGCAAAGGGCAAAUCCUAGUCUCUGAACCAGAAAACUGAACCACGUCGCUAGAUCAUGAUGGUAACUGAGUCCAAACUUCAAUCACCGCAGCAGGUCGCAGGCAUGGUAUCUUUGCAAGGGUUCAAUUCACAGCAAGGGUUCUAGUGUUGUGGUACUUAGAAGUCAGAAACUUGAGUUGUAGUACUCAGAAAUCAGACACUCAAAUGUUAAGAUGAUCUACAGACUACAGGAACAUGACUACACCAGGACCUCCAGCUCCAGAAACGAGCUCGGAAAACAUGAUGAUUGUACGAGAACAAUGCCCCCAUUGUUGUAUGUGAAUAUGACAUUUGUGAGGUAAAUAUACAGUAACAACUAUCAAAACAAAAUGCUUGGCGUUGCUCCAAAUCAGCAUCAUGUAAGAAAAUUUCUGCACUGAAGAUUGUUAGCUUCACUCAACACAACAAUAGUAAUACUUAUUAUCAACUAUUCAACUAUCAAGGUCCGCUGAACAGUAAUUAUUUUUUAAACUUAUUAUCAUAUAUAAAGGUCUGAUGAAGUGAGCACCAUUUCCUUAGGCAGUUUGGUCACAAGGUUACCAUUGCAAUCACAAACUACAACGAUUCUCCUUUUUAUUGGUCUGCUACAAUCAGAAAAUAUUACUGUCUGACUCCGUUUAAAAAUAUCUGUGUACAUGUGGUUCAUGCCAGAAAACAGCCGGAGUACAUGAACUCUGGCGAGCUGCUGGGUCUGGAGACGAAAUGAUAACAGCAGAGUGGCAGCAUGUGUUGACCCUAUUGAUUUUCUUAUAAACAGAAAAACUUGAUUACAAAGUUGUGGCCACCAG